CAGGGAUAACCUAUACAAGUUUAUGCUUCGGAUGAAAGAUGAAUCGGGUGCUUUCAGGUACACAUCCUAUCGGCCUAAAAAAUGGAUGAAAAUCACUAGUUUCUCAUAUAUAGCUCGUCCUGAGCUGAUGCCGGCCACUCAUUUUUUCUUCACCAUAGAAUGCAUGAUGGUGGUGAAAUUGAUGUUCGGGCUUCCUAUACUGCUAUAUCGGUGAGUUUUCUGUAGUCCUUCACGAUUUCUUUGCAAUUAUCUGAGAUAUCCUCAUGUUGACACUAGGUGGCCAGCCUCGUAAACAUUCUCGAUGUGGAACUGGCAAAAGGUGUUGGUGAUUACAUAGCAAGGUUCUGUUUGUUUAAUACGACCGUCAAUUUUUCAAUUGCAAAAAUUGUUGUUGCUUAGUUGCAGUCCCUUUUUAUUGAAUGAUUGCUCAAUCCAUGUACCGUAUGACUCCAGAUGUCAAACUUAUGAAGGUGGUAUUGCUGGGGAACCUCAUGCUGAAGCUCAUGGUGGGUACGUUUCUGACUAUUUCUGUUACUUUUCUAAUUUAUCUGUUUAGAACAUUAAGUGAAAGCUGCUUUCUAUAAAGGUACACGUUCUGUGGGUUGGCUGCUUUGAUCCUGCUUAAUGAGGCAGAGAAACUUGACUUGCCUUGCUUGAUAGUAAGACAACCUCUUCCUCCGUCUUUAUUUAGUUUUACUUCUACUAUGAUGUGUGUAGUUAUGUGACUGACUUUAUUGUUUUUAGACCAUGAAGUCGUUCAUUUAGGUCCUUUGGUUACUAAAUGCACGAAAUGUAGUUGAUAUGUAUGUGUUUGGUGAUAAAACAUUUUUUUUCUAUUACAAUACCAAUUGGCAUUGCUGCUGACGACUUCACCACUUAGGACUGGGUGGCCUUUCGUCAAGGAGUGGAAUGUGGAUUUCAAGGACGAACUAAUAAAUUGGUUGAUGGUUGCUACUCCUUUUGGCAGGUAAUGGCUUUCUAAGGAUAUUCAUUUAUCUUUUCCACAUGUUGCAUUCCAUAUGACAGAAAUAUACUGUGUCACCAGGGUGCUGCCAUUGCUUUAACACAAAAGCUAGUUAUGAUUAUUGACGAGCAAUUGAAAUUAUCAUACUCCUGCAAAAAGCCAUCAGGAGAGGAUGCAUGUGGCACUAGUUCAUCUGGGUGCACUUCAGAAAAAUCUUCCUCUGGUAAGACUCAUGAUUGUCCAUAUUUUUUUUCAUGAAAUGAAAAUAGUAGUUUAUUUUUUUGUUUAUGGUAAGUUCAAAACUACUUUAUUGUUCCUUGCCAACAAGAGAGAGGGAGGGCAUACCAUGCAGCAAUGCACUUACAACUUAAUCCGGCAAUUUAGGCUGUAUGAUUGCUAUUAGAUUGGUGAUCAAAUUGUACCAGUAAUCUAUUUUUAGAACCUUGAUCUACUUACUACAGAUUAAUGUCAAUGUCUCAUACUGUUUAUACAAUUUUGUGCAUUUCAAUGUCUUUAUAUGCUCCAUUUUGUGUCACCGUUCUCAUGUAUUUUGCCUUUUCUUCCCCGAAGCUGUGGAUUAUGCAAAGUUUGGAUUUGAUUUUAUUCAACGGAGCAACCAAGUUGGCCCACUUUUCCACAACAUUGCCCUGCAACAAUACAUCCUGCUUUGUGCUCAGGUGAGAUAAACUAAUGCAAUGCCUUUUUUCUGAUAUGCAGAGUUCUCACCAGAACAUGAAAUUUGUAAUGCCGUGUUAUCAUUUAAAGUUUCCUCAAGUAACAUCUGAAUGCAACCACUUCUGUAAAUCAGGUUCUAGAGGGAGGAUUGAGGGAUAAGCCUGGAAAGAACAGAGAUCACUACCACUCAUGCUACUGCCUCAGUGGCCUCUCAGUUAGCCAGUACAGUGCCACGACUGAUUCUGAUUCAUGCCCCUUACCGCAGCAUGUGCUUGGCCCAUACUCCAAUUUGCUGGAGCCCAUCCACCCACUCUACAAUGUUGUACUGGAUAAAUACCAUACAGCCUAUGAGUUCUUUUCACAAGAGUGAUGGUCUGAAAUUUUAGAGCAAAUUUGGCUGGGGCAAAUGUGUGAUUGUAUUGUUUGCACGGAUAGGAUUGGCCCCAAGUAUUGUGACAUUAUAUUUUUGGUAUGCAUACCUUAGUCAUGUUCUAUCAGGCUAUUGUAUGCUUGGUCAGUUGCAUUGCCUGGUUUUGAUGAUCUUAUCUCAAUUUCGGUUACUAGUUUUUUUUUUAGUAUUGGUGUAUUGCCUGGUUUUGACUUUUGAUUGCCUCAUCUCAAUUUCUGUUACUGGCGUUUUUGAGUAUUGGUGCAUUGCCUGGUUUUGAUGAUCUCAUUUCAAUAUGUUACUGGUGUUUUUUGAGUAUUGAAAAAAAUCUAUCAUCGAAAUGGGACGUAGAUUGGAGUUAGAGUCGAGCCGUGUAUAUUUUACAUACAAUAGACUUGCAUAGACCCUUGGUGUGGUACAAUUGUACAAAUGUGCCAAGACGCGCGAGUGUUGCUAGUCUGCUAGAUGGUAGUAGGCGGGUUAGUCAAGCAAAACAUUGUCAAUGGUAGAUAGGAGGCGAUUUCGGAGACACGAUGUUUAGAGGCCAGCGACGCUGCUAUAUUUUUGCGAAGGAUGAGUAGGUAUCUGAAGCUUCAAAUUUUCGUACUAUUUAAACCCAUCAAACUACCAGCAGCAUCUUGUGAUCUCCGUCUCGCACAGACAAGCUUGGGCACUCCAUCGGUACAUUGGCAGUGAAGUUCCCAGCGGCUCCUUUUCUUUUCUUCUGUUUUAGGUACCGUUCGGUUUCGGAGGAUUAAAGUUUUCUAUCAUAUAAAAAGAUUUAUCAUUUAGAAGUAUUAAAUAAAAUCUAUUUAAAAAACUUUCUAUAAAUAGAUGCUAAUUUGCAAGACGAAUUUAAUGAGCCUAAUUAAUCUAUAAUUUGCUACAAUGAUGCUAUAGUGACCCUCCGCUAAUCAUAAAUUAAUAUAUUUUAUUAGAUUUGUCUCGUGAAUUAGCAUAAGAGCUUUACUAUUAAUUUUUAUAAUUAAAUUUUAUUUAACAUGUACCAUUAAAUAAUAAUUUUUUUGAUGUAUUAGGAUUAAAGUUUAGACCUUCGAAUCAUUUAUAUAUGUAAAAAAUUACCCAAGGAUCUUGACGCCUGAGCGAGAAGAUCAGAAGACGACUCGUGGGCGUUGGCUGCCUCGAGUAGUACACAGCACUGCGGCGGACAGGCAGGUCAACUUGUGAAGAAAGUCUUUGCGGUCAGAGAGACACAGACCGAUGGCGUGACUUGUAGAACAAAGGUUACUGCCACGGCUGCAGGGUUCAGGCAUCAGUGGCGUGUAGCAACGAGGCGACGUGCCUGCCUUCUCGACUUUUUCCUGCCUGUAGGAUAAGCAGUUAAGCACCAAGCUGCCAGCCUGCCAUUGCCGCUUCCACUCUCCCUUUUUUCCUUUAGGUACUGUUUUUAGGUAGCGUUUGGAUUCAAGCGUAAAAGAGUAAAAAUUUUAUUAUUCGCCAAAAGUGGCAAAAGUUUUACUAUUACAGAUGUUUGGAUCUAAAUGGCAAAAGUUUUGGCAAAAACUCAUUUAAACCUCUUUUCUCCUUUUUACCAUAGAGUGUUUGGAUCCAAAUGGAAAAAGAAAGAGCAAUUUUUUUCUGUUUCCUUUUGCUAUCUGUUGUUGCUGUUUCCUUUUUGCCACAGGGUGUUUGGGUCCAAAUAGAAAAAAAGAGCAAAUCUUUUGCUAUUUGCCCUUUUACCGAAGGAUCCAAACAGGCCCUUAAUCGCCGACUAGCAGUUUGCUGAAUUACACUGCACACCGUCGUGAAAUGUGAAUUAGAGUACCAAACGGCCGAAGAUUAUAGCGUCCAAGGGUGGUAAGGCUAUCUCCAACCGUCGUUCUCUAUAUCCUUCUCUAUAUUCUUCAUUUACAGAAUUCUCUACAACAUUCUCUCCUCUAUAUCUCAUUUUUCUCCAACAAGGUUCUCUAAAUCUCGUUCUCUAUACAUUAAAUCCUAUAUUAGAAACGUAUUUUAUUUCAAAUUUUUGUACGUACGUAUUUAUCAUACCUCAAAUGCUAUGGAUAUAUUUUAUUUUUAUUUAAUUCAGUGUUUAAAACGUAAAGAAAAAAUAGAGAAGAGGAGAGAGAAUCUCUAUAUAUAGAGAAAACCUAUAACGUUCUCUAUUUUAGAGGACCAUUUACAGAACGCACGCUGCUGGAGCAAUAGAGAACGGUUUAGAGGACAAUAGAGAACGGUUUAGAGGACACCGUUGAAGACAGCCUAAUGGCUGCACAGAUCCUGAAAUCCUCGUCGCGCGGAUGCUUAAAACAGCUUUCACUCAUCAUGGUUGCAGUGGUCAGUUAACCCCCCUUGCCUUCUUCCCAGAACCUGGUGAUGGAAUGGAAACUGUAGAUCCCGUCGACGGCGUCCACGAGGUGGUCACGCCGAGAGCCACGGGCACGAUUAGCAGCGACACGAACGUGACCAGAGACAGCGCCAUUCACCGUGCUCUCACCGGAAACAACUCGCUCCAUGAUCCACACAAUCCAGGCAACCGACAAUAACUACUCCGGCCAACACGAGCGAGCGAUUUAAGGAUAACAAAAGCAGAACAAUUACAUGCCAAGAGUUGCAGAUUAAAAGGCCCUAACGACGCGGAAGCGGAACAGAGGAGGGACGCUUGGCAACACGAACAAAGCUACGAAACCGGACACACACAGACACGGCACAGCCCUUGAGCCUAGAGUCCCUAGUAGUCGCCGUCGUAGAGCCUCCGGCCGACCUCGAACGAGGCGAACGCGUCGGCGCAGGCGUACAUGAGCUGGUCGUAAGAGAGCGCGGCCGCGUCCCAGGCGCUCACGCGCACGUGGUGCGGCUUCUCCAUCUGCACGCCCAUCACCUCCAGCACCAGCGCCUGCAGCCCCGCGCGGAGCAGGUCGGGCCUCCCGAGCGCGUCGGCGGCGAGGCGUCUCAGGUCCACCGCGCUCGCGACCCGCAGCCCGUACCCGGCCCGCAGCUUUGCAGCGUCGUCGCGGAUCCCGACGCCGACGAAGGUGAACCGGCGGUCGGCGAGGAAGGCGGACAGCUUGGCCGGGACGUAGUCGGCGCGGAGGAUCUGGAAGACGAGGCAGCGGUGGUCGACGCAGACCUGCAGCACGGCGACGGGGCCGGGCGGCGCGCGGCCGGCGGGGCGCCACUCCACGUCGAGGCCGGCGACGUGGCCGCGGCGGUGCAUGCGGUAGGUCUCGGCCACCCACCAGUCCACCACGUCGCCGGAGUCCGUGAGCGUCGUGUCGAUGUAGUCCUCGUCGAACGACACAACCGUGGUGCCGUCCUCGUAGUAGCCCUGGAUCUCAGUCGCCAUGGCCCUCCGGUGCUCUCUCUCUCUCUCUCUGUGGGCGUUACUGAAAACGGAGGAUAUGGGGCACGAUGGGGGAGGCGGUUAUAUAGGCCGGGCCGGGAACAAAGGGCGUUGCGGCUUCCCUGACCGGGCCCGCUCGUAAGCGACAGUUCAUGAAUGGGUUGUUCACCGUGCUCCUGGAUCGGGGUCGUGGCCGAGUGGAGAUAUUUGCUCGAGCAUAUACGACGCCGGGCUGACAAGGCGGGCCGUGGUGCGGUUCCUUCGGGCCCACCCUGGCAGUGGAACAAAAAUUUUCCAGGCUCCAUCCUCAUCCUGUUCCUCUCGCGGCCUCGGUGACCCUUCUUUGUUCCCAAGACGCGUCAGUUCUGACUACCGCCAGGUGUCAAGGUACGCAGCCCGCAAGUACAGCACUGAGUACUGACUCUGAAGCUGAGCGACAGACAGGUCAUGAGCAAGAAUCUUGCUGUGCAAGCCUGCGCUGCGACUGGAAGCGUGCCCAACUAGUUUGCACACUUCUCUCAUCCGUUUGGUGGUUCUCUCACCCGUUUGGUGGUUGCUUUUUAGCUAGUGGAUCGAAAGUGUAAAAAGGUAAAAGGGUAAAAAUUUUACCAUUUGUUAAAAGUGGUAAAAGUUUUGGCAUUAGGGGUGUUUGGAUCCAAAUAGUAAAAGUUUUGGUAAAAGCUCAUUUAAACCUCUUUUCUCCUUUUUAUCAUAGGGUGUUUGGGUCCGAAUGGAAAAAAAGAGCAAAUUUUUUGCUGUUUCAUUUUGCUAUCUGUUUUUGCUGUUUUCUUUUUGCCAUAGGGUGUUUGGGUCCAAAUAAAAAAAAAGAGUAAUUUUUUUACUAUUUACCCUUUUGCCAAAGGAUCCAAGCACCCUAUGUUUGGAGUAGAUCAUGACUGAUACCGAGCGCAUGGAGUAGAUCAUGACUGAUAGCAUGGAUGACAAGCGCAGAAAUAUGUUCCUACCUUUUGAAAUUGUGAGAGAUUUUAAAUUUUAUUUUAAAUCAUACAAUAAUAACUGACCAAAUUAAUAGAGGAAUUAGAUCGGAAUCCUUAACAUUAAAUUAGAUUAUAUUAAUUUACCAUGAUGUACAAUGUAUUUAUUUGAUAUUGUUGGUGUUACUAAAAUACAAUUGAAACAUUUUAUAUUUUAGAAAAAUAACCAUGAACAGCAAUAGCGACCUCAAGUCUCAAGAACCAUGGCAAAACUGUUGCAGUAAUUUGUUUUCCCCUUUGUAGUAGUACACGAUUUACAAAAGAAUUAUUAACAUAUAUAUGUGGGUAAAAGAUGGCGUUUGAAUAGUGUUAAUUUGUGCAUGUUAAAGAUUUUUCCAAAAGAUCGUAACUACUAUCUCCGUCCUAAAUUAUAAUUUAAAAUUUAUUUUAACUCUCCGUUCUAAAUUAUAAUUUACUUUUAACUCUACUGUGCAUCGAGACGUACUUAUAUCCAUAUAUAACGAAUUGUAAUUAGGACGGAGGAAAUACCCGCUUAGUUUCUAGUACAAGUACAAAGUGUUAAUAGAAGAUGGAUUAAGGAAAGCGCUACUAGCUUUCAAUUCACAUAACCAUACAUGUCAUCGUUUCGGUAAUUCCACGGCAAUUAGCAAACAGUUACCAAAUGCAACCUAAGAUGACGAACGCUAAUCACACGCAGUUCAAAUGCGACAAGCCAUCGAAGCAACCAACCAACGUGACUAGCAUGGCUCCCACAAGAGUUUGCGACGCCUAACGGCUUAAGUAGUAAUACCCUAGCUAGUCUAGUAGUCGCCGUCGUAGAGCCUCCGGCCGACCUCGAAGGAGGCGAACGCGUCGACGCUGGCGUACAUGAGCUGGCUGUAGGACAGGCUGCGCGCGUCCCACGCGCUCACGCGGACGUGGUGCGGCUUCUGCAUCUGCACGCCCAUCACCUCCCACACCAGCUCCUGCAGCCCGGCCGAGCGCAGCGCGGGGUUCCCGAGCGUGUCGGCGGCGAGGCCGCGCAGGUCCUCGGCGCACCCCACCUCGAGCCCGUACCCGGCGCGCAGCUUGGCGGCGUCGUCGCCGAUCCCGACGCCGACGAAGGUGAAGCGCUCGUCGGCGAGGAAGUCGAAGAGCGAGCCCGGGAUGUAAUCGGCGUGGAGGAUCUGGAACACGAGGCAGCGGCGGCCGACGCAGAGCUGCAGCAGCGCGACGGGGGGCGUGUAGUAGUGGCCGUAGUGGGACGGGCGCCACUCGACGUCCAGGUCGACGACGAGGCGGCGGAGGCGGCGCCGGUGGACGCGGUAGAUCUCGUCCAGCCACGAGUCCACCGUGUCGCCGCUGUCCGCGAGCGUCGUGCGGAUGGCGUCCUCGUCGAAGGACACCACGUAGUGGCCGUCGUCGUUGGCGGAGCAGAUCGAGGUAGCCAUCUCCUCUCCUCCUCCUGUUCCGGCGAUCGAUCUCCCUCUCCGCGGCGUUGUUUAGGGAGAUCAGAUUGGGUGGCGGCAAUGUGGGGCGAUAUUUGUAUAUAUGGAACCGCCGCAGCGGCGCGUGGGUGGGUUUUCGUUUGGAUGGAGAGGGAUCUCGCUUUGCGUCGACGGCCGUGGGAGCACCCUGUCGUCGCGCUAUUAUCGCUAAUAAAUAGUACGUGGCUUGCCUUUACACGCUCACUGAUAACGUGGUCCCACCUACGUUUCCCGUGCUGGGGCCCGCUUGUAAGGGACGGUAGUAUAAACUUUCGUAUUUGUUGAUCGUAUCUGGCCGAACGGAUAAACGGGAGGAGUAAAAAAUCUGCUCGAGAUUUUACGGUGCGUGGGACGGGUGGGGCGGUAAAUGCCGGAACAGACGCUCGCUCUGCGGUUCCGGUUCUUCCGGGCCACUAGUCGCUGGGUUCCUUCCUGUCGAAGCUUGGGUUUUACCUUGACUUGACCUCGUUGAAAAGAGUACCUCGACUUGACUGAGAAGACUCAUCGACGGUCGACGCGCUGCGCUGCACUGGUGCACUGUGCGUCGCGUGCCUCCAGUCCAGCUCCACCAGGCUCCGGUUGACGGUUGUCCAGCACCGUAGCGGAGGAGCGGGGGCCCCCAAGAUCUUGAAGGCCGAGCUCCGAAAGCCUGCGACUCCAUCAUGCAGAAGCAGUGGCGCUGUGCUGUGCUCUCCCUGUUGCCCUAUUCAUUCCGAUCAAUAUAAAUUGUGUUAGUACGCUUCGGUAUGUAGCUUUGCUGCAUCAAUCAAAUCACCAUCUUUUGAUGGUUUAAAUUAUAAACGUUGGCAAGAUCGGCUUAUACUAUGGUUAACACUAUCGAGAGUGCUCUAUGUAAAAGAGACUAAUCCAGAGGAAGGGAGUGCGUUCGAUGAGGCUGAUAUCCUCUUUCGAGGCUUGGUCAUUAGUGUUCUCAGUGAAAAUCUGGUGGAUUCCUAUAUCCGGCUGAUAACUAGCAAAGCGUUGUGGGAUGCUCUUGAGACUAAAUAUAGAGCGUCUGACGCCGGCAGUGAGUUGUAUAUGAUGGAGCAGUUCCUUGAAUAUAGGAUGGUCGAAAACCGUUCUGUGAUGGAACAGGCUCAUGAAAUACAUACUCUGGCAAAAUAUCUAAAAAAUUGUAGUAAAGAGUCCCCAUAUGUGUUACCCAAUAAGUUUAUGGCCGGAGGUAUAAUCUCUAAGCAGCCACCUUCUUGGAGGGACUUUGCUACUUCUCUAAAAACACAAGAGACAGAAAUUCACCAUAGAUGGACUCAUAGGGACUCUUGACGUUGAGGAGAAGUCGAGAGCAAAGAACAUACGUGGGAAAGGAGUUGUUGGUACUUCUAGCGCAAAUCUUGUUCAGAAGAACAACUCCCACAAGAAUAAGAAAAAGCCACCGCAAAAGACUAAGCAUACAACCACUUUUAAAAAGAAGAAAAAGAAGAAGAAGGGAGCUUGUUAUGUGUGCGCUAGUACGGAACACUUUGCUGCAAAGUGUCCGAAUCUCAAAGGCAACGACUCCACCAACAUGGUUAUUAGCGAGCCUGGAGAAACAUUGGGGUACGGUAAUUUAUUACCUACAGUUCUUUCAUUCUUUGUUUCACCCGAAUGGUGGGUUGACACUGGUGCUAAUAUUCAUGUUUGUGCUGAUGCUUCUUUGUUUUCUUCUUACCAGACUAGCGGGACUUCCUUAUUGUUGAUGGGGAACGAAUCGCAUUCGCGUGUUCUUAGUGUUGGUAUGGUAAAUCUGAAGUUUAUUUCGGGGAAGACCGUGCAGCUGAAGAACGUGCAGCAUGUCCGCACCAUCAAGAAGAAUCUAGUCAACGGCUCUCUACUUUGUAGAGAUGGUUUUAAAUUAGUCUUUGAGUCUAAUAAAUGUAUCUUGUCCAAGUUUGGUACUUUUGUUGGAAAAGGUUACGAAAGCGGAGGCUUGUUUCGUCUUUUUUUGUCAGAUGUUUGUAAUAAAGUUGCAUACAAUGUUAUUAAUGUCGAUGAAAUAAAUGUUUGGCAUUCGAGACUUUUUCACGUUAAUUUUGGUUGUAUACUUAGCUAAUUUGAGCUUAAUUCCAAAGUUUACUUUUAUCAAAAAUUCUAAGUGUCAUGUACGUGUUGAAUCAAAAUAAAUUCGUAAGCCUCGUAAGGCCGCGGAGUCAAGGAGCUUGGCACUCUUAGAAUUAAUUCAUUCUGAUUUGUGCGAAAUGAAUGGAGUGUUGACAAAAUGUGGCAAAAAAUAUUUUAUGACUUUGAUUGAUGACAGUAUUAGAUUUUGUUACAUCUAUUUGUUGAAGUCAAAAGAUGAAGCUUUACACUACUUUAAAAUUUAUAAAGCUGAAAUAGAAAAUCAACUUGGGAGAAAGAUCAAAAGAGUUAGGUCAGAUCGUGGUGGCGAGUAUUUCUCAAAUUUAUUUAUUUUAUUCUACGAGGAACAAGGUAUUAUUCAUGAGAGAACGCCUCCCUAUUCACCUCAGUCAAAUGGGGUUGCCGAAAUAAAGAACCGCACUCUAACGGAUUUGGUUAACGCCAUAUAAGAUACCGCGGGACUUUCCAAGGAAUGGUGGGGUGAGACUAUAUUGACUGUAUAUAAUGUUCUAAACCGUGUUCCUAUAAAGAAUAAAAAUGAGUGUGCCAAUAACCAAGAAACGUAAGCUUGGGCCUAAAACUGUGGAUUGUAUCUUUCUAGAUUAUGCUAUUCACAGCGUUGGGUAUAGAUUUUUAAUAGUGAAAUCUGGAAUAUCUGACGUGCAUGUUGGUACUAUAAUGGAGUCCAGAGAUGCUACAUUUUUUGAAAAUAUUUUUUCCAUGAGAGAUGAAACAAGUUCAUCUAGGCAAGAGUUCAUCGAGAAUGAUGGCUCUGCUGAGCUGACAAAACACAAUAAACAUACACUUAUGGAAUAUCCUGAGCAAGAUAACAAUGAUGUUCCAAGAAAUAGCAAGAGAUAAAGGACUGUAAAGUCUUUUGGUGAUGAUUUCAUUGUAUAGCUCAUAGAUAAUACACCCAGAACCAUUGAAGAGGCAUAUUAAUCUUCUGAUGCUGACUAUUGGAAGGAAGCAGUGAAGAUUGAGAUGGAUUCUAUUAUAUCUAAUGGAACCUGAGAGGUCGUUGAACGUCCUUAUGGAUGUAAACCGGUUGGAUGCAAGUGGGUGUUCAAGAAAAAGCUUAGGCCAGAUGGUACUAUUGAAAAGUACAAGGCUCGGCUUGUGGCAAAGAAUUAUACCCAAAAAGAAGGAGAAAAUUUCUUUGACACUUAUUCACCAGUUGACCGAUUGACCACAAUUCGAGUGUUACUUUCCCUGGCAGCCUCUUAUGGUCUUCUCGUUCAUUAGAUGGACGUUAAGAUGGCUUUUCUCAAUGGAGAGUUAGAAGAGGAGAUCUAUAUGUAUCAGCCGGAUGGGUUUGUAUUAAAGGAUCAGGAAGAAAUGGUUUGUAAGUUGUUGAAAUCUUUAUAUGGUCUCAAGCAAGAGCCUAAGCAGUGGCAUUAAAAGUUUGACAGAAUUUUGACCUCUACUGGUUUUGUUGUGAACGAAACUGGCAAAUAUGUGUACUAUCGCUAUGGUGGGGCUGAAGGGGUGAUUUUGUGCUUGUAUGUGGAUGAUAUACUAAUCUUUGGCACUAGCCUUAAUGUGAUUAAGGAAGUUAAAGAGUUUUUAUCUCAAAGUUUUGAGAUGAAAGAUCUGGGGGAAGCUGAUGUUAUUCUUAAUAUAAAACUGAUAAAAGAGAGGAAUGGUGGGGUAAUUCUUACACAGUCUCACUAUGUGGAGAAUGUGUUAAGUCGUUUUGGUUAUAGCGACUAUAAACCUGUCUCAACACCAUAUGAUGCCAGUUUAAUUUUUAGGAAGAACAAAAGGAUAAUGCGAGAUCACGUGAGAUAUUCUCAGAUCAUUGGUUCAUUGAUGUAUUUAGCGAGUGCUACAAGACCUGACAUCUUGUUUGCUGUAAGCAAACUGAGCCGGUGUGUUUCAAAUCCGGGAGAUGAUCAUUGGAAAUAUCUUGAAAGAGUAAUGCGCUAUCUAAAGGGGAUAAUGAAUUAUGAAAUUCACCACACCGGGUACCCAAGGGUAAUAGAAGGUUAUAGUGAUUCAAACUGUAUUUCUGAUGCUGAUGAGAUAAAGACCACAAGUGGAUAUGUGUUUACACUUGGUGGCGGAGCUGUUUACUGUAAGUCUUGCACGCAGACCAUCUUAACGAGGUCCACUAUGGAAGCGGAACUCACAGCAUUAGAUACCGUCACCGUUGAGGCUGAGUGGCUUCGUGAGCUCCUUAUGGACUUGGCGAUAGUUGAAAAAUCAUUACCGGCAAUUCUAAUGAACUGUGACAAUUAAACGGUAAUUGUCAACGUGAACAGUUCAAAGGAUAACAUGAAGUUAUCUAGACAUGUGAAAAGGCGGUUGAAAUCUGCCAGAAAAUUGAGAAACUCUGGAGUUAUAACCCUAGACUAUGUUCAGACGGCUAAAAAUCUGGCAGAUCAGUUUACAAAGGAUCUUUCACGAAAUGUGAUAGACAAUGUGAAACACCCCGGUCUAAACAACCGGAGCUAAACAUGUAUUUAAACACCAGAAAGCAGUCUCUGGCGAAAAUACAUUACACAAGUGGUGCCACAGUCAUACAUAGCUUUAUUUAAUACGUUCGAUUACAAUAAUAAUAUAAACUAGGAAUACAACAAUAGCGGUAAUAAACGCGAGGGUAAACUCUUCAUCUGUCAUGGUGGCUUCUACUGCGACGGCACCACUCCAGACUUGGGUAUAGGGCACGAACUACUUGCCUUCCUCAGGCACAAAAUCAGAAUCCUCUGCAACAAGUCAUAAACGGGUGAGUACAAAAGUACUCAGCAAGUUCCACCUCACCCUACGGGAGGGGAAUGACAUGCACGACACACAUUAAGCACAAUGCAUUAGUAAUGCUUCUUAUGGUAUGCAACUCUUCCCGACACAACCCACAGUAGGUAGCUCACUAGUUGUCAGGAUCACAUCUUAGCCUGUCCAUUCCGUGGACACGGACCAUUCGAAUGGAUUCUACACUCUGCAGAGGUCGUACACUGUACCCACAAGCUCGACUGCCCGAACGGACAAACGACAUAGCCGACACCCAGCCGUGGUCACGCCCCAGUCCGGCCGCACAACCCUCGGGCCCUGACCCCAAUGGUCUAUACCCGUGAACCAUCCCUGCGACCGCCAGGCUAACCAGUGGGAUUAGGCUAAAUCCGGCCCAUAACAGAACCUGUGGUCGUACUAAAGUAAGCUAGGUGAGAUGUCAAAACAACUCGUUCCUUAAGGUUCGCCAGGGCAGCAACCAUUACUCAACAUGUCAACUCGAGCCUACCUCCACUGUAGCACUCACUUACCAGUCUACCACCACGGUAGCGCCGACUUCAGCAUACCCAGCUGCCCUAGCCUCAGCCAAAAUCCUUCAUAUCCUAAUCUCAACUCUGGAUAUGCAUAACUACUCAUAUGCAUGUAUGAGCACACUCAAUCACUCAAGCACGGGUAUAUGUAAUCGAUACUAAACCAGAGCUACAACUAGACGUCCUCACAUGGAUGCAACCGCUCACGUAGGGGUCGAUGAAACUUGUCUUCGCUUAUGUACGCGUCGGCGGCGGCGGCUUCCUGCUCGUGGUACGGGUCUUCUGGCUCCGGCCCGCUGUACUGACCUUCGUACUCCUUGGCCGGCUCCUCCUCGGUCACUCCGUGAUCAACGGGCGGAAACGGCACAACCGGCAAACAACACAAGCAAGCUAUAAAAUAAGCUCAAAUGGAGAUGAAAAUAGGAGAAAUAGAUAGUAUACAAUUUGAGGAGAGGGUCAACAGUUGGAGCUUCGUCUCGUGAGUGAACUGGGCUCGGGAGAAGUGGUUCAGCUAGCAAGGUGAAGCGGCUCGGUGUGUUAGGGCUGAUGGUGGAGUUCAUCACGGCCUCGCUCCUUUUAUAGGCGAGGAGAGUAGCAGCGGCGUCGCACAGGGACGAGCGGCGGCGUGGGCUGCGGCAGCUCGCCGUCAGCUCAAACAGUGGCAGCACUGAAGACGCGAGCGUCGAGGCGGCAAAGCCGGCGAGGACGCUGCAGCGGCGUGGGCAAGGUGGGGACGCGGAGGUGGGCGGCACGGCGCGGUGCCGGCGGCAGUGCGCGGUCCCGUCGUGGGGCCGGUGUGUCGCGCGUGCGCGGGCGAAAGCGAGCACGGGUGGGGGACGGCAGGGAGGUGCGUCGGCUUCCUUUUUAAAUGAGGUGAGGUGGUUCGCGCGGCGGAAAAAUAUCUCGGCCGGCGCUGUGUGCGACGACCCUGAUUUAUGGCGAGGUGAAGCCUACCAACAGAUGAAUCACAAUCUAUAUACUACGUACUCAGGUUUAACCAGGAGACUAACACUUACCUUAUUGGAGCGACAAAACCACGAAGGAACGCACACCUUUAAGUGGCUAGUCCAGUACUAACCUUAUCACAACUUAUCUACCUUGCUCAUGGGUGAAUGGCAAAAGGGGGGGUCCUAUUUAUAGAUCAAGGGGGAUGGUGCUGCCAGUGAAGGUAAAGAAAGCACCGGAGAAGGAAAACAGAGGGGAAAGGGAAAUGGAAUUACUCAAGGACUUAUGCGCAAUUUUAGAAAACUGCAGGGACUCAUCUGUAAGGCAAAAUUUUCCAUCAAUCAAAACUCAAAUGAAGAAAUGCCUAAAACAAAAGUUGAAGAGUUUUUCAAACUCUACAACAUUGCUUUAGGGCUCAAAUUCAAAAACUCAAAACUUAUGUUUUUACAUAUGAAUUUUUGAAUAAAAGUCGGAUUUGAAUUGCUUUUGUCCUAAAGGGUAAAACUUUAUAAAAUUCAGGACCUAAAUGCAAGCAUUUAUGACACGUCAUGAUGACGGGAUAGACUUGUCAUAAUGAUUGGAUAGACAUGUCAUUAUGACGGGAUAGGCUUGUCAUAAUGGUUGGAUAGACAUGUCAUUAUGACGGGAUAGACUCGUCAUAAUGAUUGGAUAGACAUGUCAUCAUGACUCGCAUUUUUACACUUUAGUUCUGAGUAAAUUUAAAAGUUACUUUUGUAAAUCAAAUAUUUGCAUAAAAGGACUUGUACUUUUAUAAAAUUACGCAAACAUCCUUACUUUGCAUUUCUUUUAAUAGUGAUGAAAACUGGGAUGUUACACAAUGCAUCUAUGGAAUUGGGCUUGAGACCCAUGUGAGUCAUUCUACAGUGGAAACCUGUCCUAUGUGAUCGGAGAUCCUGUGAAUUAGGAUGGUGAAAUAAAUUAAAGUUUGACUGUGAGAAGAGAGCCUUUGUGAAAAGAGCUCAUUCCGUGUAUAAGAUGCAUUUCUUUUCUAAUCUGUAUGGUAGGUUGGUCUAUAUCUUAAUGUGUUCCAGGUGGUUUCUUUAAAACAAAUAAGUUGUUUCUUGGAAUAAAGAUGUUGUCUUACAGAACAUUUGAAAGGAACACACCUAUAUGAGUCUGACUACUGGUCAUGGUCUAUGAGAACUGGGUAUUCUCUAGAAACUCAUGAAGGGCCUGGAGUAUGACUUAUAAGCUCCAAUCCGUGGGGAUGCUUUUGCAGCCUAGUACCAGUGUAGGGCUCUAGUCAAACUUGUUGGCAAUUCAAGGCAUAGUCCAUUGUACAGUUGUGUAUAACUGUAACUUUUAUUCUAGAUGGAAGUUCAACUUAACAGUCUCUGUCAAAUACUGGUAUAUAAAUGAGGGAAUAAGGGCAUUUCUAGUGUGGCUUGAAUUUCUUGGUGGGGAUUGUUGGAAUUAUGGGCUUGGCCCAUUCAUUCUAAUCAAUACAAUAAAAAAAUUUAAUGCCUACUAUUAAAUCUAGAGAAUCAAUUGCUUAAUUCCGUACCGGAAUUUGAGGAGAAUCUCAACCGACUUAAAGGGUGGAUUUCGUGUACACCAUUUGUGAAGCCGGUAAGAGGAGUACGGUGAACCACACGCGCGCGCGCUCGCCUCGCCGCGCCAAGGUCGUGGACGAGGCGAGGCGCGGCGCGGCCGGACGUGACGUGACGUGCAGGUGCGGUGCAACGUGCUAAGAUAAGAAGAACGUUUUGCUGUAAAGAGCAUUAAAAUAGAGAAUUAAUGUUGAUAGUAAUGACUGGACAAUCAAGGCUCUUUACGACGUCCAGGUUCGUUGAACCUGAGGCACAAUAGGUUCGUUGAACCAGAGGCACCUCAACGCCUAUAUAAAUCAUCUCGUCCUCCUCCCAUCCUCACUCACCUCAGCACUUGAUCCAGAUACUCCUGCUUAGGAGACCUCUCCCUUCUCACUCAGCUGCUUUCUGCCAUUUCCAUCGCUAGUGCUGCGCACACAGCUCUAGCGAGAGCAGGCCUCCGGAACCUUUGCUCGCUGAAGGUCCUGCACGGGACGCGGGCAAUCAGAUUUUUGGGGAGCGUCUUGACGCGGCUGCUCGCUCCCUGAACGACUAUUUCGUCUACUUCCCGACGUGACCGUUCGUGGGACUGCACUGCGAACAUCUUCCUGCAUCGACAUAAUUCGGCUACUUUGAGCAAGGCCAGUCGAAUAGCAUGUCUAUUCCAGCCGGUAACGGCGCAACCGGUGCCUCCGGCACUAGUCCCGCCUUGGGAUACAUUCUAAAUCUAUUCUAGUUUAACUCUUUGUUCAUGCUUAUUACUAAGAAUAAUAUAAACACAUGCACAUAUCUUAUUCACAUAUUAUCACUUAUUUAUAUCAUAAAAUUGCUAGUAAUAUUUAAAAUUAAAAUAUACCGAAAAUUGCCUAGUUUUUUAACACUCACAUGCUCUGUCCUUCGCUUUGACAGCUUCGAGCUUUCACUUCCCAGCUGAUCAUCUAUCAUACUGUAGCUUGUUGUCACCUCCUCCUAGUGACGUCAUCGUAAGAAUGGAAGCGCCCCACACCUCCUAGUGCAUGGACAAGUUCUCAUAUUUAGAAAAAUUCUUAGCUAUACGUGAUGACCUGUUGUCGAUUCAUGCACAAACUAAAGUGCAAAAAUUGGGUUUUAGAUAAAAUUUCAGGUGCAGAAUUAAAUCAGAUAGAAUCUGCACAUGAAUUUGUUAGUUUGCACACCUCACCAAAGAGAUUGAAUUUGCACUUAAGUCAAGCAUACACGCGGACCCUACUGUCACCUACAGCUGUGAUUUUUUCAACAUUUCUGAAAAAAGAUUUAGAUACAUUUUGGACCAAUCUGGAAUGCUUUCCAUAGUUUUGGUAUUUUACCUUAUACUCACCAAUCAAGGAAGGUAAGGUACCUACCCGUCAAAACCGUGCUAUUAAUAACUGAAAGAAACAACAAGAUUCAUCAGACUGCAGAAUCAUGGAAUGGUCAAUUGACGGGUACAAAAACGCAUGCAUUUUCCUCGCAAAAAAAAGGGAAAAAAUCGCAUGCCAACGUUCUUGUUCAGAUGCCAUCAAUGGAAUCCACGCAACAAAAGAUCACUACAUCAACAAAAGAUCACUACAUGCCACGCCGCAAAAUACCACACCAGGCGACCCGGAGUUCUGAGCUCGUCAUGCAUCGUUGUAGAGCCUCCAGCCGACCUGCAUGGACGCGAACGCGUCGGCGCAGGCGUACUUGCACUGGUCCUCGGUCAGCUUGCGCCUGUCCCAGGCGCUGACGCGCACAUUGUGCGGCUUCUCCAUCCGCACGCCCAUCACCUCCCGCACCAGCGCCCGCAGCCCCGCGCCGCGCAGCUCGGGCCUCCCCAGCGUGCGCGCGGCGUGGCGGCGCAGGUCCACCGCGCGCGACACCUCCAGCCCGUACCCGUCCCGCAGCCUGGCCGCGUCGUCGCGGAUCCCGACCCCGACGAAGGCGAACCGGCGGUCGGCGAGGAAGUUGGACAGGGCGUCGGGGACGUAGUUGGCGCGUCGGAUCUGGAAGACGAGGCAGCGGCGGCCGACGCAGACCUGCAGCACGGCGACGGGGCCCGGCUCGCGGGCGGGCCGCCACUCCACGUCGAGGCCGGCGACGAGGGGGUGGCGGCUGCGGCGGUGGAUGCUGUAGGUCUUGUCCACCCACGACUCCACCACGUCGCCGGACUCGGUGAGCGUUGGGUCGUCGGCUGUAGUAGCCCUCGAUCUCGGUUGCCAUGUCCCUCCGCUGAUCUCUCUCUCGCUCGCUCGCUCCCCUGGCUCCCUGCGUUGGGUUUAUGGACGGGUGAUGUAUUGAGACGGAGAUCUGACGGACUCGUGCGGCACGUAGGCGGAAGGGGAACACCACGCCACCACGGGGACGACGUCAUGCUCGCGCUCGCGCGAAUGGGUGGCUCAGAUUCCGUUUGGAGCGGUUGUCGACGGCCAGGAUAGUGGCCAAACGUCUUCUUUUUUUGAAAGCUGAGAUGUUUGUUUGAGAUGGGGGAUUCGAACGCGAGAGCAAACGCGAGUCGCGGUCUUCCGGGCCAACGUGGCAGUCAAAGGCCAGCAGGUUCUUUCCUGUCAAAACCCUGGCUAACGAUCCCCUGGACAGAUGUGGGAGAAUUUCCCGUUGGGUCUGAAGUACUUGCCUCGGAUUUACAAGUUACAGCGUGAGAUUGAUUAUUUGAUUUUGGCACACAAAAGAAGAUGAUCGGAACAGACUGUCUUACAUGUUUUGCUAAUCUAUGAGUCAUUUUAUUUUCUUGUCUUGGAAUCAUGCAAAAGGCACAGCUUUGAGUUACCUAUCUAAUGUUCAUCUGCAAAAGGCCACUGGACGUGCUAUGCAUGUCAUAGGUAGCAAGUAGGCCUCUUAACUCAAAUGUUUUUUUUUUGCGAAACUCUUAACUCAAAUGUUCAUCUGCUCAGUGACUCAUUACCUAUUUAUCCAUCAUCCUACUCUGCUCACACCGUGCCGCCGUGGGCACUCGGCGACAGGGACACGGGAAUAGUAAUAGGCCACACCAAGCGAUCCCAACCGCGACGACGCGAUCCAUCCUCGGCAACAAGCAGGCGGAUGGUUGCUGAUUCUGCAAGGGUACGGCCUACUUUCGCGGAAAAAAUAUGGAUAGAUGAUAGAUCCACUGAUCGAUCUGAGCGUGAUCGAACUGCCAUCAGAAUUACUGAUCGUCGAUCGUUACAGAAUGAGACCAGGAGUCCAGGACCUGAUUGCCUCUGCACCUAUAGUUCUAAAGGCUCGAGUGCUGCAUUAUGCCAUUACCUCACCAAUUUAGCACUACAUUUCCACAUCAGAAUAGCUACGAUAUUAUUAGACUGUUUAAACAGCCAAAUACAGAUUUCCACAUCAGGAUAGCUGUGGUAUUCUCAACAACUAAAAACUACAUACCAUGGUAGCAUAACCAUCUUACCCAAAUAGACCUCACCUCAGAACUCCUAGGGACCGAAGUAUUCCUCAGGAACGUGAAACUUUAAACCGAUGGCCUAUAACAGGACAUAUCACACGUCAGCUAAUGAAGGCUUCUAAUUAUCCCAAACAUGAUACCGUAAUGAAAAAAAGGUAAUAAAUGAAUACGACUAACUAAAAGCAGCCUAGCAUCCAAGUAAUUUCAACUGGAAAUGGAUAUCUAAAAGUUCCUGUUCUGCAUGGUACAAAGAAAUCUCAGUUCCUUUCAUCUAUUUUGCCAAUGCCUUGUGAACAAGGUUGCUAUGUUCUCUCCGGAUGACAAGUGAGGGGCCUUUCAAAUUAUUUAAAUCGAAUAAGGAAAAAAAAAUGCUCUGUUGAAUGCUCAUUCAGACAGGUUGUCAUACCUCAGCAAAUUUUAUAUCGGCAUCGCUAUGAUCGUUUUCUCUCCCAGCAGCAUCACCAACAUAAAAAGAUCUGAAAUAAUAUAGCAAAUCUCUGAAGAUUUUGUGGAUAGCUUUGCAGCAAUACAGAAUAAUGCAUCCUGAGUUGCCGACACUCUCACGGUGCAACUGGUCAGCCGAACACGCCGGAGAAGCGGUCCGCUGAUCCAGCCCGGUUCGAGUCACGGCACAAGCUUAAGAUGAAAAUCAGGGGGACAUCUCUCCCCCCUGGUCGAGUUUUUUUUUUAAGCAUCCUGAGUUUCUUGCAAUGGCCAACUCAAGCGACCCAAAAUCUCCUGUCCUUUUAAAGAAGAAUGGUUGCCAUAUCUAGACUUGACCAAGCCUAACCUAGAAAACAUGUGGAUAGUACAAUCUAAAUCGGCUUCGAGCCUUUACUCCGUGUGAGUUUAACACUCUUACAGAUUUCCAUGUCAGACCAGCUCAGACAAUCCUACAUAUCUUACAACAUCAUGGAAAUUGACAUUUUACUAUUGUAUAGUCAACUAGACAACUAGAGAACUACAGGAGCAUAGCAGCAACGGUCCUCAAUAAGAGGCACUGCGAAAUUGUGAUUGUAGUUAUUUCAAGCUCAAACAUAUUGCAAUAUCUGACAUCCAACAAAGGUUCUUUCCAUCAUCAUCUAAAUUAGUUAUUUUUUAAUAAUAGGGGGGAAUCCAAAUAAAUAACCAAGGCUUGGACCCCCCCCCCCCCCCCCCCAAAUUAUGGUAAACCAACUCUCCAAGUGAUUAGGAAGAGAUAGAAGGCUCCUAGAGAUGUCAGCGUGUGCAUUCGUUUAUGCGCAUGCAACUGCAAUCCCACUAACAUGUGAGCCCUUAUCCUGCAUGGUAACUGUAACACCCGGAUACUCCGGCCAUUGUCCCGGAUACUCCGAGCGUGGAGUUUCUAUUUCCAAAUUUGGUCAUCUGGACCCCACAAUCUUUGAAUAGAAAAGAUCACUCUCUCUCCCUCACUCUCACUCUCUCCCGUUACCUCUCUCUCUCCCUCACCUCCCUCACAAGCUCUCCCUCUCCCCUAAGCUCUAGAUUCCGAAAUCUUUCAUUUCAACUUGAUUCCAAGGCCAAGGGAGCUUCACUCGGUGUGGGGGAUCAUCUUCUACAAGUAUUCCACCUUGGGGCGACAUCGUUUUCGGGUUUUCUUGCAAGGGGAACUAGCUCAAGGUACUAGAAGCUAGGGCUCGCCGAUUUAGUUGUUUUAGAAUGUUCUAGGUGAUUUCCUUUGGUCAAUCAUCUCUAUAUGCAUCUUUCAACUAGGAUUCAAGAGGGUUUAAAAUUUGGUGGGGUGGUUUUGCCAAAAAUCAAGAUUUCAGUUUUUGGGGCGAAAAUGCUGUCAAGCCCAGAUACUCCGGGAAAUAGCCCAGAUACUCCGGAUUGGGGAUACUCCGGGGGAAAACUCCGGGUAUAAGCCCGGAUACUCCGGAUUUGGGAUACUCCGGGGGAAACUCCGGGUAUAGGUCCGGAAACUCCGGACGUUGGAGUCCGGAUACUCCGGAUAUGAGUCCGGAUAUUCCGGGUUUUAUUAGAACUAUUGGAUGUAGAAUUGGGUAAAUUUGUAGCGUUUCUACUUGGGCAUUUCAAAGAUUUUUGUUGCAUAUCGCAUUUGCAUACAUUCUCAUGUCAUGUGCAUACGUGUAGACGCCGCCGCCGAGGGAGUCGUAUAUGAAGUGAUCGCGGAGGCGAAAGAGCACCCAGAGCAAGUCCCACAGGGGGUUCGCAAGGAUCCGGCCCAAGGCCCGUCUGCCCCUGACUCUAAGCAACAGCCCAAAGGCAAGCCCCGGUGCACAUCCUACUAAUUUUUAAAUUACGACACCUAUAUAUAUAUGUAGUUAUUGCUUAUGCAUUACGUUUAGGAGUUGUUUGAAACCCUAGUUGCAUGACCCCUAGGUGUCCUUGAGUUGUACUAGUAUGUAUAGGACGAUAGAAAUGCUAUGCUUAAUAGAACUCGGUAGAAGUCGAGUAAUUUUUGGUUACUCGCGAGAUAUAGGAUAGCUUUAUGUUUUCAGAUAUGAGUUACUAAUUUAUGGAUGAAAGUCUUGAAAUGAAAGAAAGAAUAGAAUCUAAGACCGGGCGGGAGAGGUGUAGUUCCGCCUGUGUCGGUUAAGGACCGAGCCGUUGUUGGCCCUGCUGAUCAUGUUUGAAUUGUACUAACCGCAUGCCGGGAGUAGGAGGUAGUCGAAACCGGUAAGCCGAGUACUGCCUUGCUUCGGAAGUACAGAACUUCUACCCACCCCUUAGGGCGAGUCGAGUGGCCGCGGAGAAUUGGGAUGCAUGAGUUUACUUUUGGUGGUCUCUCGUAGGGCUCGGCUGACUAUAUGCAGGUGGGGCGGUUCUGUAGUUCGAGGCGGGGAGGGGAAAGGUUGGUGCGUGUGGUCCGACGGGGCAUACGCGUGCCGUGUUGGUUAGGUCCACCUUGCAAGGUUAAAUCGAAUCGAUUCGCCGUCAGUCGCUCUCGGAUAUGAGCACCUUGGUCACUGCGUCGCAGCGUAGUGUUAUGUUGGGGAUGAUAAGAAAUAUAGAUGAGGAUCCAUACAUUGAAUUAAGGUUAAUGCUUCACAUGUGUGCUAUAGAUAGGUUAUGCCAAUGAUUAGAUUAUAGUUAAGUUAAAUAGAAUCUGGAGCUAAAAUGAUGAAAGUAAGAGAUUACUUUAGUCGCUUUUUCUGCAAAAUAACCACCAGCCAAAUGCUUUGCAUGUCUAGAUAUGUGGGCUAAGUUAUACCCACUGGUCGGGUAAGUCUUGCUGAGUAUUAGUAUACUCAGGGUUUUGUUGGAAAAUGUUUUCAGGUCCCGCACCCGUAGACUUCUGUCCGUGUUGCGCCAAGUUCGUUCGGUUGGACGUGGAGGGGUGGAGUGUUGAGGAUCCAGGCGCGUAACUUUAGAUGUGCAUGGGAUUGCACACUCGUGGGCUGAGUGCGCAAUUCUUAUCUGUUUUUGGAUGUGGUAGUGGGUAGAUUCCAUGUUAUCCAAACUUUGUAUAAAGGGCAGAUACUCUUGUAUAAUAUUAUGUAUUUCGAACUGGGUUUGUAAAACUCUUUGUUGUUAUCGUUUUGUCACUCUUGUGUAUUUUCAAGUUAUGUCAAGCUGUACCAUCUGCGCCCACCUUCGCGUGGGACUACCAGUGUUGUUUCGAUCGGGACGUGGGUUGAGAAAGGAUCGCCAAAUUAAGCCGUUAAGCUAAUGCGCCCGAUGUGUUCAAAUGACGGCCAUUACGCUUAAUUAGAGUUUUAAUUUGGCGGUUCUGUCACAGCUGGUAUCAGAGCCGAAACACACUGGGGGUGGUACGAGCAUGACUAAUUUUGAGGUUUUCACGAAUUAAAAAAAAAACAAAUUUCAACUUAAGAUAAAAGGUUAUUUGGUGGUGGGGGCGGGUUUAUUCACAAUAGCCCUAUAUAUUUAGUAUUUGAAUCGUGGGUAGAUGGGUGGUUUUGGGCGGAGGGGUUACCGUAGGACGAUCAUACGUCAUGCAUCAUGCCAUUAUUUGAUUUAAAUUCCUGCAUUAGGGGUGGGAACGGUGCGAGACAUCACGAGGGUAACUGGAUACUCUGGAUGAGAAUCCGGAUAGUCCGGAUUGGGGUGUCCGGAUAUUCCGGAUGAUAAUCCAGAUAUUCCGGAUUUGGUUGCAAAAAGAAUCCUGGCUUUUUGAUUUAAUUUACGCUUUCUGCAUUCUUCCAUGGUUGAUUGUUAUGGGACUAAUUCAACCAUGGCUGAAUACAGAAUGGGGGAACCACUGAACCCUCCGGAUUUGGCUCAGGCCAUUGCGGCCAUGUUGACUGGGCGCGACGAGCAGACGGCACUCCUCCGUGAGCUUGUGGCGCAGGGCAGAGCGCCGCGGCCUGAACAUCACCACCAGCCACCUGCUCCUGGAUAUCCGGAGUUUUUGGCCACUCAGCCACCGCUCUUCCAUAAGGCGGAUGAACCACUAGAGGCGGACAGUUGGCUUCGGACCAUCGAGUCCAAGUUUACCCUGCACCCAUACAAUGAUAGGGAUAAAGCAGGAUUGGCAGCCCAGCAGCUGAGGGGUCCCGCGCGCACAUGGUGGGAGAAUCAUGUGGCAAUGUUCCCCGCGGACACCCGGUUCACUUGGGCUCAGUUCAAGGAGGCUUUCAGAGCACACCAUAUUCCAGCCGGUGUGAUCCGAAGGGAGCUCACAGAGUUUUUAGCCCUGAAGCAGGGCAAUAACAGUGUGCUGCAGUAUUCCCAGGCCUUCAACACACUGGCACAGUAUGCGGGGUACCAUGUAGACAACGAUGAGAAGAAGCAGGCUUGCUUCAGGCAGGGGCUUAGUAGUAAGCUCCAGGAUCGCUUGGCAAUGGUCAAGUUUGACAGUUUCAGUGAGCUGGUCAAUGGGGCUAUCAUACAGGAGGAUGCCCACCUAGCUCACAAGGCAGGAAAGAAGAGAAAGACGCCGGCAGCAGGAUCUUCUAGCAGUGCCCCUCAGAGGUUCCGUCUAGUGCAGUCGGGCCCACAGCGAGCCCCCUUUCAGCACCAGCCGCCGCAGCAGUGGGGAUACAGGCCCCCUCAGGACACUCAGCCACAGGGGACAGUCAGGCCUCCUGUUCCUCAGCAGAAUGAGCAGAAGGUCUGGGUGCAGCAGCAAGGGGUACGCCCCAAUUUCUUUCCGUGCUACAACUGUGGACAGCCGGGUCACUUUGCACGGAACUGCCCAAUGCCACCUAAGCAAGGCCAGCAAUCGAGCCAGCAAGGUCAGAAGCAGAGUGUGGCCCACUUCAAGCCGGGGCAAGUGCACUACACCACCCUUGAGGAUAUUCCUGAGGGAGCACCAGUGAUGUCGGGUACGUUCUCUAUUGACGGACAUCCCAUUACUGUACUAUUUGAUUCUGGGGCAUCUCACACAUUUAUUAGCAAGGGAUGUGUAAAUAGACUAGGGUUAGAAGUGGAGAGCAUAUCCAGGCCAUAUAAUAUUCACUCACCCGGGGGACACUUGAUUACUAAUCAACUUGUUAGACAAGUACCCUUGCAAUUACAGGGAAGAAGUUUUGCCACCCAGCUUAUCGUGUUACCAUCCCAGAAGCUGGAUAUUAUUCUUGGCAUGAAUUGGAUGGGAGUUCACAGAGUCGUUCUUGACACUGUUUCUCAAUCCGUGCACAUCAACUCCCCUAUUCAUGGUUCGAUGGCCUUAAGUCUUGUGAACUCCACCCCGGUGGUCCAUGUGGUGCACCACGCCGAGGGCAAGAAGCUAGAGGAUAUACCAGUGGUAUGUGAAUACCCGGAUAUUUUUCCGGAUGAAUUGCCUGGAAUGCCGCCUGAUCGUGAAGUGGAGUUUACCAUUGAAUUGCAACCGGGUACAGCACCGAUUUCUAGGAGGCCUUACCGGAUGCCACCCAAUGAGCUGGCGGAGUUAAAGAAACAAUUGCAGGAAUUGCUUGACAAGGGCUAUAUCCGUCCUAGCACGUCAUCUUGGGGCUGUCCUGCACUCUUUGUGAAAAAGAAAGAUGAAAGCCUCAGGUUGUGUGUGGACUAUAGACUUCUGAAUGCCGUCACAAUCAAAAAUAAAUAUCCCCUUCCCCGAAUUGAUAUUCUGUUUGAUCAGCUAUUCGGGGCCAAAGUAUUUUCUAAGAUUGAUCUCCGCUCUGGCUAUUAUCAGAUAAAGAUUAGAGCUGAGGAUAUUCCCAAGAUGGCUUUUUCCACCAGAUACGGACUUUUUGAAUAUCUGGUCAUGUCUUUCGGGCUAACGAAUGCCCCUGCUCAUUUCAUGUAUCUCAUGAACUCGGUGUUCAUGCCCGAGCUAGAUAAGUUCGUAGUGAUUUUCAUUGACGACAUCCUGAUAUUUUCCAAGAAUGAAGAAGAACAUGCAGAGCAUCUCCGCAUUGUGCUUCAGCGCCUGCGGGAGCACAAACUGUACGCCAAAUUCAGUAAGUGUGAUUUCUGGCUCAAGGAAGUCCAGUUCUUGGGCCACAUCAUCUCAGACCAGGGGAUUUCUGUUGAUCCUAGCAAGAUUCAGGAUGUCCUGAAUUGGAAGACUCCAGAGUCUGUUUCAGAGAUUCGUAGUUUCCUUGGGCUAGCAGGCUAUUAUCGCCGAUUUGUAUCGGACUUUUCAAAAAUUGCUAGACCCAUGACUGAAUUACUCAAGAAAGGGGUGAGAUUCAAUUGGGAUGACAAAUGUGAGCAAGCUUUUCAGACCCUAAGGGAGCUUCUGACGUCCGCCCCUGUCCUGGCUCAGCCGGAUAUUACUCGGCCCUUUGAUGUAUAUUGUGAUGCCUCAGGUACGGGCCUCGGCUGUGUACUCAUGCAAGACCAGAGGGUGAUUGCUUAUGCUUCCAGAGCCCUCAGACGGCAUGAGGAAAAUUAUGCAACUCACGAUCUGGAACUGGCAGCAGUAGUACAUGCAUUAAAGAUCUGGCGCCAUUAUCUUCUGGGUAAUCCUAUUCACAUAUACUCGGACCACAAGAGUCUUAAGUAUAUUUUUACCCAGAGUGAGCUCAACUUGCGCCAGAGACGGUGGUUAGAGUUGAUAAAGGAUUAUGAUUUGGAGAUUCAUUAUCACCCGGGGAAGGCGAAUGUCGUUGCAGAUGCACUGAGUCGCAAGGCAAGUUGCAGUUGCACCUCAGCUUCUGUGGUGCAUGAAACCUUAUGCCAAGAAAUGGAAAAAUUAAAUCUGACUAUUGUAUCUGAAGGCACACUUACUAAUCUUACCCUCACAUCUACACUUAGAGAUCAAAUUGUGGAGGCUCAGAAGAAUGAUGUGGGCAUCGAUAAGAUCAGGCAACGGCUCAGUGAAGAUGAUCCUCAGGUGCAAUGCUUUCAUCGAGAUAGUGAGGGAGUUCUUUGGUUUAAAGAUCGGAUAGUAGUACCUAAGAAUGUUGAGCUUCGGAAACAAAUUCUUGAUGAGGCUCACCUUUCGAGGUAUUCUAUUCACCCGGGCAGUAACAAAAUGUAUCAAGAUCUCAGACAACGAUUUUGGUGGACCAGGAUGAAACGUGAGGUCGCCAAAUAUGUGUCCGAGUGCGAUAUUUGUCGAAGAGUCAAAGCAAGUCAUCUCAAACCUUCUGGUAUGCUACAGCCCUUGGAUAUCCCUUCGUGGAAGUGGGAGGAUAUUAGUAUGGACUUCAUUGUUGGGUUACCUCCCACGUCAAAGGGAUAUGAUUCGAUUUGGGUUAUCGUUGACCGCCUCACUAAGUCCGCUCACUUUCUUCCAGUGAAGACCCGUUAUUCAUCUCAUCAAUAUGCUGAGUUAUACAUUGCACGGAUUAUAAGUCUUCAUGGUAUCCCAAGAACCAUUAUAUCAGACAGAGGCUCACAGUUUGUUGCCCGUUUCUGGGAACAGUUGCAUGCGUCUCUGGGGACUCAGCUUAUUCGCAGCUCAGCCUAUCAUCCUCAGACCGAUGGUCAAACUGAGCGAAUCAAUCAGAUUCUAGAAGAUAUGCUUCGAGCCUGUGUGCUCUCUUACAGCAAGAAGUGGGAUGAGUGCCUACCUCUGGCAGAAUUCUCUUACAAUAACAGUUAUCAAGAAAGCAUCAGAAUGGCCCCAUUUGAGGCACUAUAUGGGCGGAGGUGUAGAACGCCAGUGAAUUGGUCAGAAGCCGGGGAAAGGAAUGUGUUCGGCCCUGAGAUGGUCAGUGAGGCAGAAGAACAAGUCCGGUUCAUACAGGAGAAUUUAAAAAUAGCCCAAUCUCGACAGAAAAGUUAUGCGGACAAGAAACGUCAAUCCGUCUCAUUCCAAGUGGGAGACCAUGUUUACUUGCGGGUAUCUCCAAUGAAAGGAGUCCAGCGAUUCGGUGUGAAGGGAAAGCUCGCCCCUCGCUAUGUCGGGCCUUUUCUUAUCAUUGAGCGGUGUGGGCCGGUAGCGUAUCGCUUGGAACUUCCUGCCCAAUUAUCCGCGGUUCAUAAUAUUUUCCAUGUCUCUCAGCUUAGAAGAUGCCUUCGUGUUCCAGAAAAGGUGAUUGACCUAGAAAAGUUGCAACUGGAGCCCGAUCUUGUCUAUCCCGAGUAUCCAAUCAAAAUUGUGGAUCACAAGACUCGGGUCACUCGCAAUCAAAUCAGCCAUUUUUACAAAGUCCAAUGGAGCAAUCACUCCGAACGAGAAGCUACCUGGGAAACGGAGGAGUUCGUUCAGUCAAAAUGUCCGGAAUUGCUCCAAACUCACCACGGUACAUGAUUUUUCCGCAUUGUUUCCAAAUUGGCACUCUCACCUAAAUCUCGGGACGAGAUUUCUUUUAGGGGGAAGGAUUGUAACACCCGGAUACUCCGGCCAUUGUCCCGGAUACUCCGAGCGUGGAGUUUCUAUUUCCAAAUUUGGUCAUCUGGACCCCACAAUCUUUGAAUAGAAAAGAUCACUCUCUCUCCCUCACUCUCACUCUCUCCCGUUACCUCUCUCUCUCCCUCACCUCCCUCACAAGCUCUCCCUCUCCCCUAAGCUCUAGAUUCCGAAAUCUUUCAUUUCAACUUGAUUCCAAGGCCAAGGGAGCUUCACUCGGUGUGGGGGAUCAUCUUCUACAAGUAUUCCACCUUGGGGCGACAUCGUUUUCGGGUUUUCUUGCAAGGGGAACUAGCUCAAGGUACUAGAAGCUAGGGCUCGCCGAUUUAGUUGUUUUAGAAUGUUCUAGGUGAUUUCCUUUGGUCAAUCAUCUCUAUAUGCAUCUUUCAACUAGGAUUCAAGAGGGUUUAAAAUUUGGUGGGGUGGUUUUGCCAAAAAUCAAGAUUUCAGUUUUUGGGGCGAAAAUGCUGUCAAGCCCAGAUACUCCGGGAAAUAGCCCAGAUACUCCGGAUUUGGGAUACUCCGGGGGAAAACUCCGGGUAUAAGCCCGGAUACUCCGGAUUUGGGAUACUCCGGGGGAAACUCCGGGUAUAGGUCCGGAAACUCCGGACGUUGGAGUCCGGAUACUCCGGAUAUGAGUCCGGAUAUUCCGGGUUUUAUUAGAACUAUUGGAUGUAGAAUUGGGUAAAUUUGUAGCGUUUCUACUUGGGCAUUUCAAAGAUUUUUGUUGCAUAUCGCAUUUGCAUACAUUCUCAUGUCAUGUGCAUACGUGUAGACGCCGCCGCCGAGGGAGUCGUAUAUGAAGUGAUCGCGGAGGCGAAAGAGCACCCAGAGCAAGUCCCACAGGGGGUUCGCAAGGAUCCGGCCCAAGGCCCGUCUGCCCCUGACUCUAAGCAACAGCCCAAAGGCAAGCCCCGGUGCACAUCCUACUAAUUUUUAAAUUACGACACCUAUAUAUAUAUGUAGUUAUUGCUUAUGCAUUACGUUUAGGAGUUGUUUGAAACCCUAGUUGCAUGACCCCUAGGUGUCCUUGAGUUGUACUAGUAUGUAUAGGACGAUAGAAAUGCUAUGCUUAAUAGAACUCGGUAGAAGUCGAGUAAUUUUUGGUUACUCGCGAGAUAUAGGAUAGCUUUAUGUUUUCAGAUAUGAGUUACUAAUUUAUGGAUGAAAGUCUUGAAAUGAAAGAAAGAAUAGAAUCUAAGACCGGGCGGGAGAGGUGUAGUUCCGCCUGUGUCGGUUAAGGACCGAGCCGUUGUUGGCCCUGCUGAUCAUGUUUGAAUUGUACUAACCGCAUGCCGGGAGUAGGAGGUAGUCGAAACCGGUAAGCCGAGUACUGCCUUGCUUCGGAAGUACAGAACUUCUACCCACCCCUUAGGGCGAGUCGAGUGGCCGCGGAGAAUUGGGAUGCAUGAGUUUACUUUUGGUGGUCUCUCGUAGGGCUCGGCUGACUAUAUGCAGGUGGGGCGGUUCUGUAGUUCGAGGCGGGGAGGGGAAAGGUUGGUGCGUGUGGUCCGACGGGGCAUACGCGUGCCGUGUUGGUUAGGUCCACCUUGCAAGGUUAAAUCGAAUCGAUUCGCCGUCAGUCGCUCUCGGAUAUGAGCACCUUGGUCACUGCGUCGCAGCGUAGUGUUAUGUUGGGGAUGAUAAGAAAUAUAGAUGAGGAUCCAUACAUUGAAUUAAGGUUAAUGCUUCACAUGUGUGCUAUAGAUAGGUUAUGCCAAUGAUUAGAUUAUAGUUAAGUUAAAUAGAAUCUGGAGCUAAAAUGAUGAAAGUAAGAGAUUACUUUAGUCGCUUUUUCUGCAAAAUAACCACCAGCCAAAUGCUUUGCAUGUCUAGAUAUGUGGGCUAAGUUAUACCCACUGGUCGGGUAAGUCUUGCUGAGUAUUAGUAUACUCAGAGUUUUGUUGGAAAAUGUUUUCAGGUCCCGCACCCGUAGACUUCUGUCCGUGUUGCGCCAAGUUCGUUCGGUUGGACGUGGAGGGGUGGAGUGUUGAGGAUCCAGGCGCGUAACUUUAGAUGUGCAUGGGAUUGCACACUCGUGGGCUGAGUGCGCAAUUCUUAUCUGUUUUUGGAUGUGGUAGUGGGUAGAUUCCAUGUUAUCCAAACUUUGUAUAAAGGGCAGAUACUCUUGUAUAAUAUUAUGUAUUUCGAACUGGGUUUGUAAAACUCUUUGUUGUUAUCGUUUUGUCACUCUUGUGUAUUUUCAAGUUAUGUCAAGCUGUACCAUCUGCGCCCACCUUCGCGUGGGACUACCAGUGUUGUUUCGAUCGGGACGUGGGUUGAGAAAGGAUCGCCAAAUUAAGCCGUUAAGCUAAUGCGCCCGAUGUGUUCAAAUGACGGCCAUUACGCUUAAUUAGAGUUUUAAUUUGGCGGUUCUGUCACAGCAACUACCUCCAUAUUACCAAAUAGAAACAGGUAAAGCUUGUGAGACAGAUGUGUGGUUCCAGCCCAAAAAAUAUGCAGCCCAUGCUUAAAAGUCUCAUUCAAAUUGAAGCCCAGUUCUUUAAAGUUGAUGAUUAUGAGUGAUUUUGUGACAGUUUGCUAAAGGUAGUAUGGUUAUGUAAAACUGAAAUAUUGUCUGAGAAAAGAGUGAUUACUUGUCCAUGUCGAUUUCAAUUCCGGAAUUGAAAUGCUGAGCCAUCAACCACCACAUUCCAGGAUUUGGUUUGCGGUAUGGAUCAUCUGGAGUACCUUUUCCUUGCCCUAAACCACAAGCAAUGAAAACCUGCAGGUGCAAAUCAAAUUAAUCAAUCAUAGAACUACCUGAAAUGCAAACACACUUCAAGUGACAAGCCCUAUUUGAGCAAAUUCAGACUGGGGACCCCAGACCAAUGUUUUUUUGUUGGUGGUGCUGGACCAAUCCAAAGAAAAAGCAUAACAAGAACUCCCAGAUGAUACGGAACAUUGGUGCUUUUGGUGUCUCAAGGAUUUGUGCUACGUCCACUGCUGUUUAUAGCCACAUUCCAAUAAAUUAUACUGGACCUAUGUUUUGCCACAAAUUGGAGUGUUGUAUCCAGUAAUAAAGAAUUGUAUGCUAGCAAUUUAAUCUCGCAAACUUAUAAAUAUUUUAAAUAAUCCAACGUCCAGAGCACAAAAGUCGUGAUUAUAAUCACUGAUCAGAUAUCAUGGAAAGGAUAGGGAUCCAGGUUCUGUGUUUUUGGUCUCAUAAACAAUAGCAGACUAAGAUCUAAGGCUCACUUUGACAUUGAGGUCAAUUCUGUAAUGUCGUUUGAUGUAACCUUUCAGGACCUAAAUGACUGUCUAACUCACUUUUUAAAUCUAUACUGCAAAUAUAGAUAUUAAUUAGUUCAAAAUCACACAACUGUGAGAAAAAACAACAGCUGUAUAACAGAACAUAUGUAAACUAACAGGCUUUCCAACAAAACGAAAGUUUAUUUUACAACAUUUUUUCCAUAGCACAUUAAACUUCUGUACUUAACAGCACAGAAGUUGCAGACUUAUAAGAUCUAUGUGAUUUAAGUUAUAGCACAAUGCCAAUUUCAGUUAUCAGAGUAUCAAAAUAACUGAUGCAUUCCUCUGUUACCUUUUCUUUAAAGGGCUGUUCAGAAGCUUCUUGAUACAUUUGAGACAGGUUUCAGAUAAAUAAGAUAAAUUUACAGCAUACCUGAAUAGGGACUUUAACACACUCGAUAAAGUUAUCGAGGCGUCCAACUUUGGAGUCAACAGCUUCCUGCCGCUUAUUCUUCCAGCGAUCAAUGUUCGACUCAUUGGUGAAUAUGACCUAACAGUAGACAAAAAAGAGUUGACAUUAUUCCCCAAGAGAUGAUAUGGCACUGAAAGCAAAGCUAUACCUCCAUCCAUCAAUGCAAGGCGUAUUUUGACUAGGAAAAGGUUGACAAACAAUUAGUAAAAUCAUACGCAUGUUUAGUGCAUAGAAGAUGCAUCACAUCAUUGAUUUUGUAACAAUUUACAGUAAAUUUUAGGAGAAAGUAAUGGUCAAAAUCUAUUUUGGAAGACUUUCAUUAACCAAAAUUCGCCUUAAUUUAAUGGACGGAUGUUAUGCAUGUAUGAGCAUGCUACAUGAUACAACAUAGUACACAAAUAAAAAAUGAAUAAGAAAAGAAGUGAAAUACUAAACUAAGUAGUGAAAAGAAAGCAACUAACCAGUUUGUAACCAUCAUUGUACAGACUUUGCAAUUUUUUUGGAAUUGAUUGAUGCUGUAAAGACCACUUGUCUGCACCAAUGCUGCACGUGCAGAAGGUUGGAAACUACUAACGAAGUAAUUAUUAAGAAACAGCAUGCAAAAUAGAAUGUAUUGUGAGUCAUAAAUUCCACUUGUAUAAAUUUGUCAACUUCGGAGAACAAUACGCCAAAAGUGGGUUCUUAUCAUUAUGCUCAAGGCCAUCAAAACAUCACUUAAUAGCUGAUACCUUCGUUUGUAAACCAUACAACACCAAGGCAAAAGGCUGACAGAUGAAGAAAAAUUGAAAUCUCCUACUGACCAAGAUUCUCCAAACUCAAUACAUGGAUGCCUAUGGAUUUCCCUAGCAACUCACAGCAGUGAAAAUUCAUACAUAAUGUAUGGUUUGCAUUUAAUUCAACAUCAUGAAAGUUUCCGCUAUAAUGGUGUUUGCAUAAUUUUUUAAGGCAUAGUGCUACAUGUUUGGUUUAUAGCAAGAUUCAUAUGAUAGUUUAUCUUACACAAGAGAUAAAAAAGAAAACUCGACCAACUCCAAAAAGGUAAGAAUCUACCUAUCAUCACUUCCUUAAGAGAGGUAGUUACACGAUCUGUGACUGCAAGCACUGGGGUUCGCCCCCGGGUGGGUGGCCUCUCAACUGGAGGCUCUAGAAAUUAGGCUAUUGCUCGGUUCUCAGUAGUCCUAACUUAUAGACAGAUGACAGGAUAAGAAUGCUACUUUAGUUCAUUCAAAAUAACAGAAUGCCAUUAUAUCCAACUCCUAGAAAAACUUCUAACCACUACCUGUAGAACUGCAAUCAUAAUUUAAAACUGUAUUUAGCAAGGCAAUUAAAACGCAUCUCCACUGUAGAAGACUGAUUAAUGGUAAUAAUGUCCACUACACAAGCAUCUAGAAUAUCAUUUAGAAUGAAACAAUCUUGUAUAUCUUACAUCCUCACUGAUGUUUUGGCAAGGCACCCAUCAAAAUCAAAUGCAGCAAUCUUAGCUGAAGCAUGAAGGCCAUCUUCCUGGACAUACAAUUGGAAGAAAAUUAUUCCUUGAAAAGUCCGUUAGACCUUAUAACCAGAAAUAUUGUAUGACAUAAAUAUCAAAAAACCUGUUCACGGAAGAUAACUGUCUCAAAAGCCUUCCAAUGAGUGGGAAGUGUAGCACCCUACGUCCACAAACAGCAGGAAGGCACAUGUAGCAAUUCAGUAUAACCAUGAGCUUAGCAGAAGCAGCCAAAAAUGGUGUGAUAGGGAGCCCAAUCACUUAGCAGAAGCAGCCAAAAAUGGGACUAGCUAAGAAUAAUAUAACUACCUUGUAAUCUUUAUUGGUAUCAGAAACUGAAAAGGAUAUCACUGGACGUAUUCUAUUGUUCCCUGCAGAAAACUGUCAGGAGACAAAAUAAAAAAAAGAGUAAUCAGGUGUUGAGCAUUGCAAUGAUAUUUUUAAGGAAAAGAUGAUGGUUGUUUUCCUAUUCAUUACAGGAGUGAAAUUUUUUUAACAAGGUUAGAUUUGCAAUUCUUAAAACUGGUGCUUCAUAAUUUGCCACUCAUAUCAUAAUGACAUGUGGGGUCAUCAUUCAUAAGUCAAUGGUGUGGGAAGGGUGGCAAAUUUCAGAGGUUAUUGAGUGGAGGGGGCGAGGUGCAGGCGUGCAGCUGCUGCUCACACUCGGCCAGGGUAGAUGAGGGAGAGAGGGUACCGAGCUCGGUCGUCACAUCGCCAGACGCGUGUCAAAAUGCCUCUGAUCAGUUGGCAUGCAGCAGAGAGGCAGAGAGAUACAGAAAGCUGAGCUGGCUUCCAGCGGCCAAGUGAUGGAAAAAUCUAAACCAUCUACCCAUAUUCACCCCUCUAGUUAAAUUAGUAAAUAAUCUCUACUUUUUUUCCAAACUCAGACGUGUGUGCUGUGUAACAUGUACAAAUCCCAUUUUAGUGGGCAUGCACAAAGAUAGGUGAUCAACAAUUUUAAUGUUUCAAUUUCUAAAAGAGCUAAUCAUUAUUUCGACAUCCUAGCCGUGACCAGUUAACAAUUGGGGUAGCCUCAAAAAAAUAUAAAAUGAUAUCCAAUUUAGCUCAAAUUUGGCGAACAGCUUAAACGAUGUUUGUGCUUUCUAAGGUAUGACACGAACUCCAGGAACUUUAUUGGGCUUCUAAUUACAACUAAGCAAAGAAAGAUGGGUGCUACUAACAUGGAUAUAAAUUUGUAGCCUAAUUUAAUCUUCUAGAAAUACCAAGAUUCCGACCUAGGUUCAUUAAACGAUCAUACUUGCCUAAACAUGAUGACUGUAGGCUAUACUAUGUAAGUUCAAGUUCUUCACAAAAAUUCACAUCGAACAAGCAAAAGACAUUAAGACGAUUUAAAUUUGAAUUGAAGGAUCAAACAUGACAAACAUGCAAAUGCUACAAUUGAAAAUGAUCAGUCUAGUGAAUGUGAAUUUUCUGGUGUGACCCUAAGUCCAGGCCAGGAGCAAACUAUUAUGACAACAUUUGGAGUUACUACACUUUGACAACUUCUGAAAAACAUAGAACUAAAAGCUUUAGCUGAUAUAAAUGUUGUGAUGGCCAAGUGGAGGCAUAUGAAUGUAGGUCCCCCUUGACAAUUUUACUUAUUUAUUUAUUUUUGUGUUUGCUCCCUCUAUAGGUGUCAUCAAUGGUUUAGGUAGAGUCCAAAAGCAUAGAAAGUCACCUUUACUUCUUCCAGAUUAUUUUCAGCACCUUCUUUAGAGAUCCUCGUGCUGUCAACCUAAAUGAAAUCAAGUGAUGAAUGGUUAUAGACAAGUUAAAACUAACACACACAAAAAUGUGUUGGUGCUGGAAUCAACUACAAGAUGCACAUGUUGAUUCGAAGGACAACCAUUUCUUCCUUCAGGCUUGGCUCACUCGACUGAUCAGCUGCAUUGCCAUCUCUCUUGUAAUUCUGCAAAAUGAUCAGAGAACAAAUCUGAGAAUUUACUAGCAAACAACAAAACGAAACUCUAAUGUAAGAUAACAAGUCAGAAGUCACCCAAACUAAAAACCAUAUAUUUAGGAUAAAUUAAACAGACAGCUAAGUGCAAGAAUCAUUUUAUUACUCCAAUCAUUCUGUUUAAACAAACAGCAUAAAUUUCUUUUCUUUUCCUCUCCCUUUCUUCACCAAAAGCACUAACCUUUUCCAUAUCUACAGAGUACAAAACCACCUAAAAGUAGACAUACCCAGCAAUUGAUAGCAAGGAUGCCACCCAGUUUAUAAAAGUUAUGAGUGACCGAUUAUUUACCUCACCCAACUCCAGCAACUUCUCACGGUCAUUAUUCUGCAUGCACCCAAAAUCUAUAUAUUAGUCUCCAUAGGCAGAAUAAAAUUCAAAAGUAUUGAAACAUAUCAAAGGACCAACCUUGAUAGAAUCAAACCCCUUAAGAUUCUCCACAGGAAAUAAUGGGUAUGAUGAGGCAGGGAAGCAUGCAACAUGGUACCAUUUGGUGCUGUCAUAACCGCGUGGGUCAUGAGCAGAGGCACCGAGGCGGAGGGCGCCUUUGGCAAUAUUCUUACUGCAUCCCUUGCAGGUGGAGCGGCCAGACUUUGCAUACUCAACCAAGACACUUGCCUUUUCAGACACCCACUUCAUGGAUGAAGACAUGUGAGCCUUUACUUUCUUUGGACUAGGCUCAUCCAAUGGAUCGACUGUCUUGUCUACCUUAUCAUCACGAUUCUGUAAAGGAAUAGUUCUGGUUAUUGAACUGAAAAUCAGGACAAGAUUUUCAAUAGAAAUUUAAAUAUCUUAUACAACACUAACAAUUUAUUGAUUUUUCUUUACUGGUUUUGUCCUUACCUAGCACAUAUUGUGAUGGACAAGCAGAGUGAUUUGAAAGUAGAUAUGACCUUUAUGUUCGCAUUUAUCAGUCUUUUCUGCGUGCCUUCUUUAUAGGUACUAUCAAAGGUUAGCUGGGUUUAAGUGCAUGUGAUUCAGUGACUCACCUUUACUAUCAAAGGUUAGCUGGGUUUAAGUGCAUGUGAUUCAGUGACUCACCUUUACUUCUUCUGGAUUCUUUUCAGUAACUUCAUUAGAGUCCCCUACGCUCUGAGCCUAGAAGAAAUCAAGUAAUGCAGAAGGUUACAGGUGCUAUAGGGGGAUAGAGUCAGCUGCAGAAUCGCUCUUGUAAUUCUGCAAAUGAACACGGUGAAUCUUCCUAAAAGCAUAUAUUGAGCGGUUCCGUAUCACAAGGCACAGAAAAUAGUAACUGAAUGCACGGGAUAUCUGUAAUGAACUGUGAAAUAGUUGCAGCAUUUUACAACUCCGAGAGUUUCAGUAGAGGAAACGAUGUAAAGUUUCCUUCAUCUUUUUAUGUGUAGCAAAAAAUGGACUCACAUCUAUCCAAUAUUUACAGAAACUAAUAACUACUGAGUACAAUACUUCUAAGUAAGAAUGACACUUGAUUUAGAUAAGCUGUAUGAUUGACUAAUUGUUACCUCCACUAACUCCUGCAGUUUCUCACGAUCAUGAUCCUAUACACACCAAAUCCAAAAGUUAGUAUCCAUAGUAAGAACAAAAUGCAAAAGCUUGCGACAUAAAAGCACAAACCUCGAUUGAAUCAAACCCCUUCAGAUUAUCCACAGGAAAUACAGGGUAUGAUGAUGUAGGGAAGCAUGCAAUAUGGUACCACUUGGUAUUUUCAAAGCCACGGGGAUCAUGAAAAGAGGCACCAAGGCGGAGGGCGCCUUUGGCAAUAUUCUCACUGCAGCCUUUACAUGCAGAGCGGCCAGACUUCGCAUACUCAACAGAGACACUUGCCCUAUCUGACACCCCCUCUGCAGGGGACGACAUCUGAGUCUUUGCUUUCUUUGGACUUGGUUCUGCAGUCUGGUCUCUCUUGCGAUUCUGAAAAUGAGUGAUUCUCAAUAUCAUUGGAGCUUUUAUAUUUGAGAAAAGAACAUAGGAAAAGCAAAGGCAGGAGCCCUGCUGGUCAUUGAGUAGACUGUGGGAGUUUGUUAAAAAAAUAUCCCAACAACUAUAGAUCACUUAUAUAGCAACUAAAAUCUAUUACGGAUUCCUUAAUCUCUUCUAUCCACAUUUCAUAUAUAUGUUGAUUCACUAAUCAGUAAUCACGAACCAGGACAAACAAACAAAAGUGAUUAACUCCCUACUUCCACUCAGACAAGAGAUCGCUGUGGUAUCUUUUGCAUUUUGAAUUAUGUGCUACACUUUACAUAUGCCUAUCCAAUCAUAUCACAUCAUCCUACAAGCACGCUGGCACAGGGUGGAAAAAUAACGCAGGGCAAUACCACUAAAAAAAUCAAUUCUACUUAUGGUGUUCCUUUAGAAAAGAAAAAUCAAUUCUACUUACAGCAUUCCUUUAGGAAAAAAUAAUUAUACUUACUCGCCAUAAAAUUCAUUUAUUAACCGUAAAUUUUGUUGAAACUAUUCUACAUUACCCAAAAUUGAGCAUGAAGAAAGCACAAAGUUGGGGUCUAUAGCAGAAACGUGAAAGUCAUUUCAACAAUUGAAGGACGCAUUACCUUCACUAGCUCAUGCAAUUCCUCACGAUCGGCUUCCUGCAGCCCCCAAACGCCACGCAUUAGUCCAAAAAUAUACAGAACGAGAUUACGAACGGCGCAGAAUGACAGAACCGACCACCCAAUGCGCGAACCUUAAUGGAGUCGAACCCAUUGAUGCUCUCGACGGGGCCAAGCGGGUGGGACGCGUCGGAGGGGAAGCAAGCGACGUGGUACCACUUGGUGGCGUCGAAGCCGCGGGGGUCGGGCGUGGAGGCGCCGAGGCGGAGCGCCCCGGAGGCGAUGGCCCCGCUGCACCCCUUGCAGGUGGAGCGGCCCGACUUGGCGUACUCGACGGAGACAGCCGCCGCCGCCGCUUGCGGCGCGGUCGACAUGGCGAGGCGGGCGACGCGAGCAGCGGAAGCGGGGAGGAGAAAGCGGAGGCGGCCGGGGCUUCGCGCGAGGGAUAGGGAGGAGAGGGGGGCGACGAGCAUGCGAGGUGGGGAGCGGGGAACUUAUGUUGGCGGUGGCCGGUGAGGGCGUGGGGCGGCGGCUAGGGUUUCGUGCAUUGGAUGCGGACGGUGGGCGCGGGGAUCGCGGUGGUGGCCGGUGGAGAGAUAUUGAUUUCCGGCGGGAAGAAAGAAGGGUUUGGGCAGCGAGCCCGGUGGCGGUGUCGCGGACUGCCGUGCCGGUGGCGCCAGGCGGCAGGCGCCAGGGUACUACUUCUGUCUGUCUCUGGGGGCCGUCCUCGUCGAGUUGUUCUACUCCAUUUUGUGGAUGGAGGUCGUAACGGAACGGGCCUGCCGUAGAAAAGUCGUGACAGGCCAUCAUGGGUUUCACUGUUUGAAUAUGGGCUACUUUUACAAGAUCAGCCAAUUCGGCCUGGUGAUAGCGGAUCUGGGCCUGGAAAUUCAGACACCGCCAUUUCCGUGAGUUUUUUUUAAAAAGGGGAUAAAAAAAACAAAAUUCGAAAAAGGGGUGCCAGUUGGAGAAAUUUAGGGAAAUGGGUGCCUCCCGCCCGCUGGGAGGGCGGAAAGGAGCCUCCCGCCCAACCAUAGGGCGGGAUGCUCAAAAAAAAUUUCCAGGGACCUCUUCGCGAAUAAGAAAACUUUUUUUAUUCGCGAAGAGGUCCCUGAAGCAGGCCUCCCGCCCGGCCACUGGGCGGGAUGCCUCCCGCCCGGCCACUGGGCGGGAUGCCUCCUGGUGCAUUGUUAUUUCAUGUGUGUGUGUUUUCUGGCUUCCAAAAUUCGUAACAAUUCACAGAAAAAUCCAAAAAUAGCAAAACUAGUUUUGUUAGAAACUAGAUUUCAAACUCUAUAACUUUUGUUAAUGGAGUUUAGUUUGAAACAAAAUACUUUUACCCCUAUUUUAAAACUAAGAUUAAGAAAAGUUUAUGCUUAACUUUAGGAUUUCAUGGUUUGUUGUUUAUGAAGUUUGGUAUGACUAUUCUAUAAACUCUAGGUACCUUUGUGCAAAGUUUUAAACUCAAAUUUGAUGUAAAUUUAACUUCUUUUGUCUUGAAUUUUUCAAAUUUGAAAUGUUAACUAAACCUAAUUAUAACCCUUUUCUAAUUAAAAUCUAUUAUUAUUCUCUAAUAUGAUAUUAUUUAAUAUCUAAUAUAUAGUCAAAGUUCUAAAACCUAUAAAGUUCUAAAACCUAUAAUCUUAUGCUCCUGGUCCAUUUUUGUUAUAUUUUUUCUUAGAUUAUUUGUUUCAAAAACUAUUUGAAAUUCAGAAUUUUUUCAAAUAUAAGAUUCAUUCGCCAUACUCUUAUGUAUGCACAUAAAAUUUUAAUUCAAUUUUCCAAAGAAGAUUACGGUAUCUAAAACUCGUACGAAGAUAGUUAAACGAUAACAUUUGCAACGUAGAAUCUAAAUAUUACGAUAGUACAAUACAUGAAGCCAUUUAAAAUAAAAUAAUAUGAUAAUAAACAUUACAAAUAUUACAAAUACAUGAAUCCAAAUAUUGUGUCUUCAGUCAAUGCGGCAAAUAUUACAGAUACGUAUUUAGGUCUGAUAGAAUCUCAACGCGGCAAAUAUUACAAGAUGACUGAAGUCGCUGCUUACCCAAUCUUGAGGCACAUCAUCGUCAUCAUCAGACGAAUCGGCAUUCAUUGCUUCAUCCAAUUCACGUUCUUCGUCUUGCAGCUGUUCAACAAUAAAGGGUAUGUUCUCCCCCUCAUCAGCCACGCAUUGAGGUGCUGCGGUGCCACCUGCCUCAAUGUUUGCCUCCUCGACUUCUUCAUCAAUAUUUUCAUCCCCCGGACCAGCUUCAAUGUUUAUCAAAGGGUUUUGGUGCACACUAACAAGGAGUACCAGUGGCCACUGCCAAUGACUUGCAUUUUGCAGAUAAGUUAACCAGUCCUCGUUGCUUGCAAGUGGCAUAAGCUCCCAGAUCAAAGCGUGAGUGGUACGAUUUAUGACGCAUUGAACACUCACAGUGUGUGUCUCCUGAUUAAUACUUAGUCCCCUCAUUAACCAGUUGCAUAAGGAUUCAAAUGUCCUCUCGUGCGGUCUGGUAAUUCCUCUGACCGCACAGUUGAAUUCACUUAAAUCUACCCCAUUCGGCCCAUAAAUUACAUUUCCUUCUCCGUAAUAUAUACUGAAAAUACCCUUCUCGGAAGACAUAUCUGUCAAUCAUUAAUAAACUAGUUAUACUACAUAUUAAUACACAACGAACGACGAUCCUAAAUUUCAGCGACUCUCAGAUUAUAUUUUACAGAUUCUAAACUAUUCAGAUUAUAAAUUAUACUAAAAACAAAUGAAAAUACUAAAACUAUUCAAAACAUAACUACUCUAACAAAUAUUUCCUAAAUUAUAGUUAUUUUCAAGUACUUAUAUGGCUAGAACGAGAAUAUACCUCAAAAUCGACGUGUGGACAGGGCUUCGCCGCUUCCUCUUCUCUCUUCCUCUCCUCUCUUUCUCUUUUUUUUGAUUUUUGCUGGAUAAAAUGGCAUUUUUGGGGCAGGUUGGGGUUUAAAUAGCCGGUGGGGGGACCUCCCGCCCGACCAAAGGGCGGGAUGCCCAUCAGCACAACAUCCCGCCCUUUGGUUGGGCGGGAUGCCCUCCCAGGGACCUCUUCGCGAAGAAAUUAUUUGCGAAGAGGCCCUCGGGUGACAUUCUGCCUGCUGGGUGGGCGGGAUGUCCCGGGCCCCACGCGUCCCGCCCGUUCAGCGGGCGGGAGGCACCCAUUUCUCUAAAUUUUCCCAACGGCCACCCCUUUUUCGAAUUUUUUUUUAUCCCUUUUUUAAAAAAAACUCCAUUUCCGUGGCUACUGCAGCGCAUCUCCUGCUUGCCGAAGCCAUCUGGAAGAAAGCCAAAUCGGCUCCACGCCGAAAGGGUGAGCCUUCGCUUUCCACUUGCCAGUCGCUCGCCUCCCGGGCAUAACAGUGGCCAUUUGAGCCUCAGCGUCGGUCAACACACGCGCAUCGGCGCAUGCCCUACUCUAGAAGGUAGCACGUCAAUGUCGGUCAAACCGCUGCUUUAUCUUGCUUCUUCUAACCGCCCAGCUUCACUCGUCAGCCUAACACCGACGUAUCUGGAUUCUCAAUGCUAAACAAGUCGAUGGUCGCAUCUCGAGCGCGCACUCGCAGGACAAGCCAACGGCUCGGCCGGUGGCGUCUUGCAGUCCGGGGUGCGAUGCCGCGACGUUCUCUUCUCCGGUCUCGAGGAAGGGGACCCAGGUACAUUCUCAGGGGCUGUGUGUGUGGAUCGUGUCACGCGAGAGCGACCCAGCCGAGCAAUGUCAGCACUCAGCAGGGUUGCUUGCAUGUAUCGCCAAUUGAUGGUGUGCUGCCACCCUUUCUUAACAUCCCCAGCACUCCAGCAGAGCUCCUCCUCUCCUACGCAUGGCCGGGGCGCAGAGCUGCAUCCAUCAAAUUAGCCACCAAUGGAUCACGCCGCCUCGCAUCCCGUCCCCGACGUCGGCAGCUUCUCCUACAGCUGGCCGACCAGCAAACCAGAGCGGCAGCCCGAGGAGCGCCUCGACCACGCCGGCGUCGACGGAUCCAUCGCAACGGACCCUGCGUCGGCGUCGCAGUGCAGCUUCGACUUCCGGCUAUCGCCUCCCCAGCAGACGGCCGACGCCGGCCAGAUGUUCCUCGACGGCCUGCUCCUCCCGCUGCAGCUCGCGAGCCGUCACGGCCAGGAUGGCGGCGAUUCCGGCCGCAAGGGGCCGGCGCUGGCGCGGUCGCUGUCGCUGGACUCGUCGCAGAGGAUGGUAGCCUCCGCGGCCGCGAGUAGCAGGCGGCACCGGCUACCCCGGCCAGCGUCGCAGACCUCUUCGCCUUGCGGCCGCGGUGCGGUGACCCCCGCGAGGAGCGCCGUGUUCAGGGCGAGCAAGCUCAGGUUGCCGUCUUUCGGGAGAUGCGGGAAGCGGCGCAAGUGGAUGUCGUUCAGGCUCUUGGCGCCCUUGUGCCGGAAGAUAGCGAGAUGCGUCUGGAGGAGGAAGGUGAUGGAUGUUUCGCAUCGUACCCAGUACGGUGGCGACAAUGUUAAGCUGUGUGAUUCAGGCCAGGAGAAUGCCAUCAGGGACGCUAUUCUUCACUGCAAGAGAUCCCUGUAGGCAGGCUGUAGUCACGAGCAUCGAAACAUUUGCAGGAGGUGUUGAGCUCUAGACUUUUCUCUUCUUCAAUUAAACCUUGUUCUAGCAGUACUGGAAUUUUGCCAGCGCUGAGAAAGGAAGGCAGCCGUGCGAGAGCGAAAUGUUAUUCGCAUGACAUGAUAAGUCUUUCAGCUCAAUCCAUAUUUCACGUUAAAACUGGUGCCAUAAUGAAAUGACUUGCAAAAACAUUAAAUGCCAACAGCGAAGUACCAUACACCGCCAGUUAUCAACAAAUUUAGCUCCAAGGCCAACCAGGCACGAAAUCUCAUUUCAGAAAUGGAAAGUCAUGGGACCAUACUGGAUAUGGUACUUUCAAAGGUGUUGAACUUGAAACCCCCCAAACAAAUCCCAGAAGACACUGAACCAUUCAAAAUACAUUAGUUCAAUCCCAUCAUGGAGUACCAAACCAAAUUCAGACACUGAUCCAUCUAAAAAGCGCACAUAAUAACAGAACGGAUCAUUUCAGCUCAAACCCCCAGCUGCACAAGCAAAACAAACAACAAUAAAUUGCAAAAACUGCUGGAAGUAGACAAAACACAAACAUAACUGCAAGUAUUGCUGCAACUUUUAUUCUCAUCAAAGAUUUAUAUUGCAGCUAUGAUUAGAAACAAUGAAGCUCUGGACAUCGGAACAUUGUACAAAUAUCAUUCCAUCCCUCUGUAGCCAUGGUUUGAGAUGCUAUGAAAUAUCAAGCAAAACUCAAGCAUCGUACGACAUGGCUUAGUUUAUUUGUGAAGGUUACAAUGUUAGAGAGCUCUCAUCAUUUCAGAUCAAGCCUCUGCUGGGACCUUCAGUCUCAAAUGACUUUACCUAUACGCAAUGAUGCAUAUUGCCAUAUUGGAUGCAUACUCAUGAGUCAUGACAAUGGACUACAAUGACAUAAAGAUUAAAUACUAUCAUACUGUAACCACAGAAAUAUGCAUACCUCACUAGCCUAGCACAAGCAAAAGGCACUAGUCAAUGAAAACUAGUACCACAAAAUUCCCAUGACAUUGAUAGAUAGCAUGAUAUAUUUCAAGCUUCCAGAUAGAGCAACUAUGCUGAAAGUUGAAACCAAAAACAAGAUCAACAAUUUUCAGCCGACAUGACUUCAAAUAUCAGCAGAUCACAACAAUCAGUCACGCUAGAGUUGCCCAUACAGAUAUAUACUAUCAACUAGUGACUUGGACCAACAGCCAUCCUUCCAAAACCGAAGGUGAUAGGUAGUCAUUUAUCAUAUUCAUAGCAAGAACCUUACUACAAAUCUAGUGCUUCUUAUCUUUCAGAGGACCCUUUGGAAUCUUCGAUAGGCACUUCUCGUUGAAGAUGGCAUAGUACUUCUUAAGUUCAAUCAUAGCCUUCUCACCAAAAGCAUCAACCUUGUCCUCAUACUUCUCAUACAGUACUGGGACAGUGUACAGCACCAUGAAGACUGCAAAGGGAACAGAAUAGUUUCCAUUCAUAACUUGCAUCAACAAUAAAAGGAGAUAUUUGAGGAAUAUAAGACACCCGAUCAUUACCAAUAUAAGAUAAUGUCAGGAAAUUGCAGCAGCUCCCAAGAACUGAAAGAAGCCAGAGACCUGCUAUAACCUGUGAUAAACAGAAGAACAAGUGCAGGGUAUCAGCACAAUACCAAGACACUGGGAACAAAAAAGUCCAAGGGGACAACAAACAUACAAUUAGGAAUUUCUUAAGAUCACGGCCAUGUCCAAUCUCCCUCAAGGUAGCGAAGCCCCUGUUGAUCUCAUAUCUCAGUGUGAGAGCAACAUUAACGGCCGCAUCCUCUGGGAUUUUCACCUCAGGAAUGUUUGGUGGAGACCUGACAGCCAGCAAUACCACAAAUUAAAGUCAUGUGAAAAUUAGCUCCAGGCAUGACAAUCAACAGCUCCAGGUCCAGAAUGACUUCAAUGAGUUUCAGCUUUCAUUUGAACAUUAGGAAUCACAGAAACUCACUUGUUGAUGAAAGUGGAGGCAUUGGACCACAGGAAAAGGACGGCCAGUGAGAGGAUGAGGCAGUGGCACACCAAGGUGAGAAGAUGGUACUCCAUGACCUCGAACAGGAGCCAGAUGGCUGUGGCACCAGCAAGGACACCGCCGGAGAUCUUCUUGUUCCUCCAUAGGACAAGAUCAGCAGCUGCAACCGCAUUUGUAUAUAAAUAAUCGCGUCAGUCCAAGCACCCCCAACAAAAAAGCGGCGGUUAAACAUUCCAGAUCCGUUUCCAAAUCCAGAUCGAACAGAGCAUCUAAGGGUUUAAGGGUAAGGACAAGCUGCGCCGCAGCUUAACCGCUGGAACUAAUCAUAUCAAUUAGCGAAAUCUUAACGCUACAGCCGCAGGAACAAACACUAAACCCUCGGAUGCUUAACCACUACGCUACAGAUCCCAAAACCACCAUCCAAACUCUCUUCAGUUUCAAAUCGUAAAGCAGCUUAUAGUGAGGUGACAAACUACGCGGCAGCAAAAGUAACAGUCCAGGAAGCACAAGCGAUCACGAAUGGAACCAGAUCGAGUUGGAUCUAGGCCAGACCAGGAGCGAAUCGGGACUACAAAUCGCGGGACUUACGCUUGCCGCCGCCAAGGACGGAGUGGACGGGUCUCUCGCGGCCGAAGAGGCGGUAGAUCUUGGCUUUCAUGGCCUCCGCCGCCGACGCCGACGAGGACCCCUUCUUCUUCUCGUCGUCCGAGUCAGACGACGACGAGGAGUCGCCGCCGUGGAACUUCUCGGAGAUCUUAUCCAUCACCGACUCCAGCACCGGCUCCUCCUUGUGCUCAGCCAUGCCGCCCCCUCUUUUCUCUUCGCCGCUGCCGCUGCCGCUGCUCGGAUGAGAAACCCCGAAAGCAAGCUUGUUGGCUGGUUUUUCUUCCCCUUUCUUCGCUGCGCGGUGUGCUCACACAAAGACGCCGUGUGUGCACGUAGCAAGGCCGGGUCUCCUUAUAUCCGGCACGUGACGGGAUCCUGGCCGUCCGUUUGAACGCGCAGCGGCCGUGGAUACGAGCCAAUGCCGUUUGAAUACAGGGCACUGGCUCGUUUUGUCCGCGCAGUAGGUGUCCCCAGUCCCCACGGAAAGGGAGUCCGCCUACCCCCCUUCUCUUAACGGCGAAUCAAGGCUCCCUAGUACAGAUUCGGGCCCAGCAGCAGUGGCUGAGGGUGUAGAAAUGGUAGCCGCGGGAUUUUGGUACUUAAGGGUUAAGUUUAAAUUCGUGGACAGGGAGGCGCCGGCUUCAUCGCGGGCACGUCACAGGGGGCCAACGAGCAAGUCUGAGGACGGUGGAGAUCGCGAGGAAAGCAUCAGGGUCCGUUCGACACGUGGCACAAUGGGGCCCUUGGCCGGCAUCCAUCGGCGUAGAGCGGCUGGUGGGCUGUAGGUGGGACCUGGGAAAAGAUGAUGGUCGGGGAGAAGGUUCUGGAAAGCGGCUACGCGGUUUGAAUUCUUUUCUUUUAAAACUACACGGUUUGAAUUCGACAUGACCAAGGCUCGUGCUUCUUGGCUAAGGGUCCUCCUCCUUUUUUUUGAGAUUACCUAAGGGUCCUUCUACGUGACGCAUUUUUUAAGAAACCUAGAAAAAGAUGUAUAAAUUCCAAAACAAAGGGUCUCGUGAAUUUAAAUAUUAACAACAAUGAUAAUCAGAUUGACUUGUGCAUAAAAUAAAAGUUAACAAUAUGAUGCAUGACAUCGAUUGAUCUCUCUGGUGUCAAAAUUUGCCAGUCUGCAGACGUUUUGUUUGUAUCAUGUGUAGCAAAUUGUUGAUAUAUAAAGUAAGGUGUAAAUAUGAGCACAAACGUUGUGUACUUGUGUAUACCUUUUACACGUCUUAUGAAGAGAACGUGCUACAACUAGAAUCAACUUUAUUACCCUCAAGUGAAAAUAGAAUUAUACAGUAAGGUGUCUUCAUCAAAUAGGUCCUGUAAAGCAAGGUUGGGGAUUUGUAGAUAUGGCUUUGGUUCUAUAGAGCACCAAGUUUUGUGAUAGGGCGCGUAGGUUGCGGUGAUAGCAGACAACUAGACAUUAUUCUCCUCAAACCAUGUUACCAGAUUAAAAUCCAUACUCAAUACACAUUUACAACAUAAAAAAAUGACGACCCAAAUCAUGUACCAUACAUUAGAAUGGCAAACAAAUUUGGAACCCGUACCCAUAUCAUGCCUCCGUAACUCAGUUUCAACCGUAUAUCCAAACACAACCUCGCCAAUUUAAAAGUUAUACCCUUUUCAUGCCACAAUUAAGACUGCAAUUCGUUAUGAGAUAACACAUAUUUUAAGCAAAUUUAGUACUCUAAUUCAUGGCACAAAUCGCUGGGAGAGGAGCUGUUGGAAUCUGGAAACAGGAAAAAGUCCAUUUGAACCAUGUAAAUUAUAUUUAUUUUAGAAUUCCAUCCACAACCGUGGACCUUGUGUUCUUAAAAUUCAGAACCUGACGGGGACACUUUGAAGUCGGAAAAAAUCACAUUGCCACCUUUUGCAGCUGUGCUUAGAAUUAAUAACACUUGAAGUUAUCUAUCCUUGACUAGAUACUUGUUUAUUGCCAUAUGCGGACCUAGUCCUAAACUAGCUCGUGGUACCCUUGAAGCCCAAUUUCCCAAGUGGGCCGAAGCCCAGCGGAUAAAAUGUUGGGCUAAGAAGAGCCCAAGAAUGCUUCUCUCCUAACAAAAGAGAAGUCAUGCCCUCGUACCAAACCUAUAUAGCUUCCGGAAGCCCGGAAGGCUUCCACGUUCUCCACCGUCCGAUCCAUCUCCCUCACCCGCCCGAUCCUCUCUCUAUCUUCUUCCUCCUCUCGGCUUCUGCCCGCGCCACGCCACUCGCUCGCUGGAGCGCGAAGGGGCGGGAGGUCGGGGAGCGGCCGGCAGUGAGGUCGCCACUGACCGGGGGAGGUGGUGGAGGCGGUGGUGGUUAGGGCUAGGAUUUGGGUUUACCGAGGUCCGGGGGUUUCAAUGGCCUCCGGAUAUAGAAGAGGAGGGGGCCGGGAGGCGGCUGAGGAUGGGCGGCGGCGGCGACGGUUUGGCCGGCGGCAAAGGGCGAGGCGGCGCGGGAGCGCUGCCAGUUAGGCAGGGCAAGACCCAGCAGUAAGACUCCCGGUGGGCAGUGCCGGCCGCGGGGGCGAGGACGCCCACCUCGUUAGGAAGGGUGGGGUCGAGAGGGUAGGGGCGGGCGGUGGGCGGGCGGCGCGGCGGCGGCCGCCGCCAGCCGAGGAGGAGGCCGGGGCGGAGGCAGCCGAGAGAUGAACAGUAAGUGGGUCUAAUAGGCCUCCCUCCCCGGUAUACCAGACUUUUCAGGUUUCAGGCUGUCAAGUAUAUCCCGAUGCUCGAUCAGCUCAAAUUAACUUGGUAACUCCAUGUUUCGCGAUCCAUCGAGCACAACCAAAUCUACUUCCCUUAAAAAAAACCCGAAACUGUAUUCCGGCUGUUAAAACUAUCACUACACUGCUGCUUCACGACAUGGUGAAGGCAGUUUUAAGGUCUAAGAUUGUUGAUCUGAAGUCUGAACGGUCUAGCGCUCGAACUCUGAAACUAUGGACUGUAGCUUGGCUAGCAUCAGCAAAUGAGAAUCUCAAACUAAAGCACUACUAACCCAAUUCGGCGAAGCAAAACGUGGCAUCACCAAAACCCAAGAAAAGAACGAGUUGGAUCUAGUGAGAACUGAGAACAACGAGAUACUACUCACAGAGUCACAGUCGCGGCCUCACGGGCAGCGGUGAAGAUUUGCCCCCUUAAGCUUCGUUCGUGAUGACACCGCGGUGGCGGAAACGCCAGUCGCCAUGGCCCAUGGGGCGGAGCGCAGAUGCGCAGCUGGAGCGGGGAGGAUUACCUGUCGGGGUCGAUAAGAGCAGCGCAAGCGAUGAGGGCGGAGCAGGAUGACGAUCCACUUGUAAAGGGAUCAGCGGAACGCGGAAGCUGGGAAUAUGCUACUGGGAUGUGCGGAUGCCCAACGGUCCUCUAACUCUACAUUAUAAAGCGAUGAUACAAAUUUGCAUCGAAGUCGUUGUAGUAUAGUGGUGAGUAUUCCCGCCUGUCACGCGGGUGACCCGGGUUCGAUCCCCGGCAACGGCGCUAUUUUUGUCUUUUUAUUUACACAGCGUCCGUUCCUUUUUUUCUCCUCCCUGGGAAGCUUGACGUCUUCAAUACCUAAGCAUGCCAUGGGGUGAACCAUCGCGGUUUUGCGCUGUACUGACGCGAUAGCAACUCGCACAGGAGAAAACUUUGCCGUGGCUUUCAAAUCUUCGUUUUUCCAAGGGUUCAAACCAACAGCAAUCAUGCCGUCCGGUGCCAGGACGGGAGUACUUCUUCGCUCUUCAAGCUUGAAACGGAAUUUUCCCGCUUUUUAGAUAACCAUGAAAACCCCAGCCAACAAAAGGUCAUGCAGCACCGUCAGUCGAUGGACGACACCACGACAGGACGUCCUCCCAAAAUUGACACCGUUCGCCACUCAGCUCCGCUGCCCAAAAGGUCAAACGGGUGAUCCCGACAGAAGUUUCCCUCGCACCGCUCAAGUGCCAAAUCGUUCCCAGCGCAGCCGAGCUUGAGCAGCCGCUCGGAGCACGAGCAGAGCAUCCCCAUCCCCGCCAUUACUCCCCGCCGUCCCUCUGCCCCGGCAAUAAAUGCAGCCGCUCGAGCCGCGCACCCACCCCCGCCAGAUCUGAACCCCGCGACAAGGCAGGCGAAGGAAGAGAGGAAGGGAAAAAUCUCGCCACUUCACCACGCCACCUUCCCACAUUUACUCCCCUACGCCCCCACCCCACGCGGCAGCGAUUCCACCCGGGCAUCCACCACCACCACCGUGCCGUGCGCACGCUACGCCAAUGCCAUUCCGCCGCUCCAUCGCCACGAGGGACUCGCCGCCGCCGGCACAACCGCAAUGUCCCUCCUUUCCUCGCUGUCCAACCUUGGCCUCGGCUACUCCAUCGCCAUCGCGCUCGGCUUCCUCGUCCUGUUCGCCUCGCUCCUGCUCGCCUCCUACCUGUGCUUCCGCCGCGGCGGCGGGGACUACUGGGCCGGGGAGGCCGCCACCACGGCGUCCAGCUCCGGCCACCUCUCCAUCACCGUCCCGCGCGUGCUCUUCGUCGCGGAGGGCUCCGAGUCCCCCGACGCCGCCUACUCCUCCGCCGCCGCCGCGUCCUGCUCCCCCGUCGGGCUCGACCGGGCCGCCAUCGCGUCCUACCCCAAGGUCCCGUUCUCCAGCAGGGCCGCCGAGCCCGACGCCAUGUGCUCCAUCUGCCUCAGCGAGUACAGGGACGGCGAGAUGCUGCGCGUGAUGCCCGAGUGCAGGCACGGGUUCCACGUCGCGUGCCUCGACGCCUGGCUGCGGCGGAGCGGCUCGUGCCCCGUCUGCAGGUCCUCGCCCAUCCCGACGCCCACCGCCACGCCGCUCGCGACGCCGCUCUCGGAGCUCGUUCCUCUCUCGCACUACGCCGCCGACCGGAGGCGCAGGUGAUGGACGUUGCCACACCGGUGCAACACGGUGCUUGUCACUGCAUUACUCUUUUUUUUCAUCUCUUUACGUUCGAGGAUGUGAAGUUGUGGGUUGCUUUACUGUGGGGUUGUUUUAGGAUAUCUAGAGAAUUGUUUAAUUUGGAAGUCACAAUGAUCUUGAUUAGAUUUUGUAAUGUAGAAGUAGAUGAUUGGAGCAGGGGAUAGUGUAAAUAACAAUACAGAUUGCUUGUUUCUGUGAGUAACCUUCUGGUAAUUUAUCCAAUACUUAUACUUACUACUGAAACUAUGGCCAGAUGGAAUGUAGAGAAUUGGUGUAUGAUGGCUACUUAUGUCACCGAAUGGAACGCAUAACUAUCACUUUUUAUUUUUCAUCCUUUGCUGCAUUGGGGACUUGGAAGAACCUUUGCAUUUACCUGAUCCCAUCAAACUUGCAUUUCGUAUUGGAUUUUUGUAUGUCAAGUAUCCAAGCUAAGCGACAGAUCUUAUAUGAACCUUUAUCAGUAUAGGAAUUUCCUGGGUCCAGGAGACUUUUAGCUCCGCAUGGUUGGUGAGCAGGACCAUCAAUGCCCAUGCGCUAAACGAAUGUUAAUUUGUCUUUUAUCUUCGUUGGCAUGGGGACAUGCGGAGUAUUUGUUAAGGUUGACUGAUUUACUUUAAGGUAAGCUAAUUUUACGGUUGUAAUUUUAGCUCUAAUGUCAGGGUUACUCUGUGGCUCUGUGCACCUCUGGGUAAUAAUCAUCACAAUUAGAAAUAGAUCUCUGUACAUGUUGCUAAACAUACAUGAUACUGGACCUUGGAAGCGGCGAAUUCAAUGUUAAUAUAGUGAUGCAGAAAAUUGGAUCCAACCUACUGUUUUGCUCCUGUUUGAGAAUUCCACUCAUUUUGUUGGCAUGACAUACAUGGUGACUUCUUAUUAAAGCACAUCAUACAUAUCAAAACCAAACUCAGGCUGGUGCCAAUGGGGGGCGAUAUCGCCCCCCUGUCGCCCCAGCCCAGGCGAGAGCGAGGCGAGAGGCAGGCGAGAGGGAGAGAGAAGGCGGUAGCACUACCGCCGGGCGAGAGCGGGCGCUAUCGCCCCGCUCUCGCCCGCGUUGGCAGGCGGUAGGCGGGCGGUAGCAAGGCGGUGCGCUGGCGUCGGGCGAGAGCGGUGGGGCGGGAGUGACGUGGCGCGUUUCUAUUGGUCCACAUGGAGGUUGAAAUAAUUAAAUUUGGAAAAGAAAAUCUGACGUGGAGAAAAAAGAAGUGAGAGCUAGCACUAUAGUGUCUGCAUUGGAGGGGUAGGGUGAGAGUGGGGGCGAGAGCUGACGUGGCGGAGCGCGAGUGAGGCGAGCCACUGGACUCAGCCUCGAAUUGAGGCGAGCCAGUGGACUCACCCUCGUAUUGUUGUAGAUAUUUACCUACGGAGUACUCGAACUGUGUUUGAUUUUUCUUCUCAUGCCAUAAUGACUGAAAAUAAUCUUUUUGUGUACAUAUUAUAAUGACUGAAAAUAAUCUUUUUCGGUACACAUUCAAUUGCGCCUCCCAAUUUCCCUGUCGCAUAUUGUACGUCUGUUGGCAAGUCAGUGUAUCGUGGUACCAUUUGAAGUUGCUUGUGGGCUUGGGGUAGUACUCUAACUGGGUCCACAUAAGAGUGGUACUUACUCAGGAAUUUCAAAAGGCUGAUGUGUUAAUGUAAGGGCCUAGAAACUAGAACUGCAACGGCAAGCAAAGCAUUACUUAUUACUUGCACUAUCAGUAAUUUUAAUACAUUUCCCUAGUCCACCCACCUGCAAAAGUUUUUAACGAGGCGGCGCUUGCUCCCUUUUGUCUUAUGCCCUCAUAAUGAAUUUCUCUUUAGUUACUCCUGUUCCACAAUGCUUGUAAGGCCUUAGAAGCUUGACAGCAAGAAAUUGGAAUUCUGUUGAAGAUGGUACCUGUUGAUAUUGAUGCCUGGGAAGUUCUGAAUUCAACUUUUAUGAUAAUUUGGAAAUGAAUUCUCUGAUGCACUUGUCUUAGCUUCUGAUUCUUGUGGGUGUAUGGUUAAUGCACUUGUUGACUGAUUGUCUGCUUCUGGUUUACUCUUGAAACAAGACUAGCAGCUUCGACACGCUUUCGUAUUUGCAUAUCUGUUCUGACUAAAGUCCUGAAUUUUCAAUCCAUGUACUGUUUCUUUUCUUUUACCUACAUGCUUCAACUUGCACUCAUGGUUGAACUUGACCAGUUAGAUUGUUUACGUUCAUCCGUGAGUUUUGCAUACCCUUUUGAUCCCACUGUGAGCGCAAAACGUUUCUUACAAAUGUUCAAAGACAUGUUUAUAACGUAGAAACAGUAUAUGUUACAAUUCCUGUAGGAGCUAGGAAAAAUAUUGUUUUCAGCACGUUUUAGAGUCUAAUGAUUCAGCGAUUCCUGUGCUUGUACUGAAAAUCAAAUUGAUCUCUUAACAUUAAAUGUCAGAAUAAAUGGUGUGCUACCAUAAUAACUGGAUAAGCAGGGUUGCAGGAGCAGACCAGAAAUUGAGGAAAUAAUGGUAAGUCCAUGCUGAAGUAUUAUUUGCUAAUGACCUGCUGAGUGAACAGCCACUUGUACAGCAAGGAGCUGCUCUCGCCGUGGCUGGCACGACUUGGCUGAAGACCCUCGCAGUCGCAGUCAUUGGAGCGAAGAGCAAAAGGUGGAAUAGUGGAUGAUGGAGAGCAGGAAGCUGGCAUUAUCACGCCGGAGAAAUGGCGAGCAGUAUGAGGAUGCAGGCAACCGAGCGUACAGGCGUACGGUGUACGACAUGCAUGACGAACUGGCUACCUCCGGAAUACGCGUCUCCAUCAUGCACAAUGAGAGCAGGUGAGCAGGAGCAGCAGGGGGGACGGUGCUAGCGACUGGGCGAGCACGGGCACGCGCACAUGGGCGGGCACUGGAGGAGGGCAGGGCAGGGCAGGGCACGACAUUGAACCGGGGCUGGAACGGCCGUCGCCCAGCGGGGCAAGCAGGUCAGGGCUGUUUUCUAGUGUGGGUGACUGGCGGCACGCUGCAAUGGCUGCAUGCAUGAUGCUUGUACUCUUGUAGCAUAUGGAACAGAUCUCCAGCUGCACGAUCUGGACGGAUUUGGAGAGGACGAACCAAAUUGGGGGAAGACGACGGAUGCGUGCCGAUUUGUUUUGCGGAAGGGAGAUUGUUUUACUCGCUGCGGACGAGGCCUUUCGUUUCUUUGCGAGGAUUGUUUAGACGAUGCUCUGGCGACGCCGAACAAGCCUGGCUUGCAGGAAUUCAGUUCAGAAUGACGCCCUCUUGCUAAAGAAUCUUCACAGGUUCUUCGAUACAGAAAUGGUCGUUUACCAAGCACAGCCAAGAUGGUGGUCUUUCUGGUAGCGUGGCGUGACAUUCUCAAGUUGCUGUACUAAUACAAAGGCUUAGCCACAGUCGGUUUCACCUCGAAUUCGCGCAGCGGCUUCCACAACAACGGCGAUUGCCGAGUCUGUACGUCGCACGCCGCCGCAACCGACAGCACACCUGGCUCCGGAGAGAAGAAGGUGCGUGAUCAACUUUGGGCCUCAAAAGCCUUGGCGCGGAAAUGGAUGCAAUCUACGGCCCGUCGCCGUCCGGAGAGACAAACAGAAGACAUUUCAUGGUGAAAGCUCUCCCGCGCCUCUCAUGGCGGAGUUAACGACCAGCAUCGCAGCCUGGUCCAGGGGAGUUUCCGCUCAAGCGCACGGCAUCUCGCUCGGCUCGGACGCGCGGCUUGUUGCGGGAGCAGCGGCGUGCAGACCUCGUGAGUGGGAAGACGGAAGGUGCUGAGGGAGGGAUAUGCCUUUGCGCUUCCGCUGGAACGGAAACAUGGGGAAGGACGGCGGCGGCGGCGGCGCCCGUCGUUGGGCAGGCCGGAGGUGGAGCAGUCAGAAGGGGUUUAGUGAAAAUAUCCGAUCUAUCAUUUUACAUAUGGACCCCUAAUCAAACCAGGGGGUUUAAGAAAAUGUCCGAUCGAAAUUUUACAAAAGGACCCCUGUUUCGAUCGGGGUUGGUUCCCCCAUACUUCAGGGCGGCGGCGCGGCUCGUGCCCGCAUCGUGGAGAUCUAUCAUACUCACCCGCUCAUAAGGAGCCAGGCACCCCGCGCCGCACCGCUCGCAUUCCCAGAUCCUCCACAGUUGCCGUCGUGGCGGCGCGACGGGAGCGAUGUGGCCGGAGACGGCGAAGGAUCCUGCUACGAGCGGAUGGCCGUGUUUCCGACUUGCGCUUGCUUUGGCACCCUCGCCUCGUCGGCGCCGCCCGUGCUCGCGUCCUCCAGCUCCAGCUCGUUGUUGGUUUAGGAGAAAGUGCUUUGUUGCAAGCUUGAAGCUUCCAUCUCCUCGCAUUGAAGCUUCCAUCUCCUCGCAUUUUGCAAUCGCGUGAAGGAUGCGCUGGAGAUAUCCGGAGGUACAACUUGCAAGAGGGCUAGUGAUGUACUGAAACUGAAUGUAUUAGCUUAUGAAGGCUGAGAAUACACAAUUACACAUACAAAGUUACAAACUUCAUGGCUUGGUUUUGUCAGCAGGUUUCGAUGAGGCUGAGGUUCAUUUGCCUUUAUCAGCAGGAGCUAUAUGCUCACUCUUUCAUUUGCCUUUAUCAGCAGGAGCUUUUCAGCAUUUUUCAGGUGCGUGCAAACCAGCUUGAAUCUUUUGAGCAGCAUGUGAACAGAAAAAAAACAUAGGAAUUUAUCCUAGCAUUUCUCAUCUCCUCUGCAAUGUUCAGCAGUAACUGGAAUCGACGGUACAAAGGCAAUUACUUUUACCAGGUAACAUGGGCAAUGAGAGAUAUUAGUGGUAUGUCUAAUAACAGUCUGUUGAACAUUCUGUAAACUGUAACCUUCUUAUCUGAAAUUGGAACACCGAGAUUGGUGUACUUGAAACAUAUUUGAAGUCUUAAUCCAUGUAAGUUUUUCCAAUUUCGUAAAUUAAUAAUCAGUAUAAAAAAAUCAGAGAUCAAUUACAGUUUCAGUAGAGCUAUGCCGGAUUUGGAUUGAACAAAAAAUGUUUGGCUCUCUAAGCUACAUUAGAUAACAUGCCAUUCUUAUCAUUGUUCGACCCGUGAUUAUAUCUAGCUCUAGUAAGUAAAGAUUUGGGAAAAAGAGAAUGCAAACUUGAUACCAGCAAUUGGGCUUCCUGAAUGCCAAAGCUGAACUUUUCAAAAAAAAAAAAAGCCGAAGCUGACUCUGACUUUCAUGUCCUGCCCCAGCUAUUUCUGCUUCUUGCAGAUGAACAAUGACAGCUCGAAAGAAAAAUUUUGACACCCAAACACAUCAAAUUCUUUGUAUCCUGUUAAUACUGAGCCUUAAGAGUUAGUCAGCUAGUUAUGGAUAAAAAGAAAAGAAAAGUGAUGGGAGAUGGUAAAAAAGACGUCUUUUAAGUAUUUUGGGCCUGUAAAGGGCCAUGAAAAGACUCGCGGUUUCUCAUAAAAAAAAUUAGAUAACCAUUGGUCCAAUUAUCCCAACACAUUUAGAAUGGCACUACACCACCGAGCAUAAUUAUACAUCACUUGUGAUGAAAUCAGAACCCAUCGCCUGAAGCGGCCACAAACGGUCCAGAACCAUCUUCUUCCUCCUUGCGCCGUUCGUCGCCCCGCUCGCCCCAACCCCACCCUCCGCCUUCGUCUCCAGUGGCAGGAGCCGCCGGAUUCGCCGCCGUCGACCGCCGCCAUUGGAGUUGGAGCUGCUCGCCCACGCGCCGCCGUCGGGGUUGCUCACCCCCACACCGCCCUCCACCAUCGCCUCUACCGCUCCCGCCGUCGAUUGUGCCGCCACCAACCCCCGCCGCCCAAACCUACCUCCGUUGAGCGCCAGGGGAGCUCGCCGUGACUCCCCCGCUGCCUCCGCAGGCCACCGGAUAUCCUCCAUGGCCCGCGGCCCGCGGUGUCCGCCGCCUCGUCCACAGUCCGUCACCACCGCCCGCUACCAUGCUGCCGCCGACCUCCUUUUAUGGCCGGGCACGCAGGAGACAAGCCGGCCCCGGCAAUCUGAACUCCUGAACCGUAACCCUAAUACGACAGCGAGCGGAGGAAGACGAGUGGAUGAGGAAGAAGACGCAGCACGAGAGGAGGAAGAAGGCUGUCGUGGGCUGCGGAAAUUGAAUUGGGCCGGAUUCAACUCACUUCAUGUGAUGGCUCGCGCGUUUGUCGCGCGAGCGGUGUGUAGCCACGGCGCUACACCACCUGUGAACUUAACUGAAACAAAGCUCGGGAUGUAGAGCCGGCAGUAAACAGAGACAGACCAGAACGAUCAAGCUCCAGCAACAUAGAAAUCCUGUGGGAUUACCCCAUGGAGCUUCCUUGAGAAGAUCUCCGUUUGUCGCGCGAGCGGUGUAUAGCCACGGCGCUACACCACCUGUGAACUUAACUGAAACAAAGCUCGGGAUGUAGAGCCGGCAGUAAACAGAGACAGACCAGAACGAUCAAGCUCCAGCAACAUAGAAAUCCUGUGGGAUUACCCCAUGGAGCUUCCUUGAGAAGAUCUCAGUUUGCAGCUCGUUUCAAAUGUGUCAGAACUUGUGGUUUCAGUUCCACAAUUGUAGAAUGUUUUAUCGCUCAAUGUUAACUUUUUGCAGGUUGCCCUUAUGUGUAAUAACAGUUAGCUUUAAAACUGGCGGCAGGCACAUGUGGAUAGCGAUGAUUCAGCUUCUCUCUGUCGCUUCACACCGCUGAGCUAGAGCUCCCAUCAGCGGUGGCAUUUGAUUUAGAGUUUAGGGUUGAGAGGUCGAGUGCGGAAGGGUUCUCCUCUCCCUCGAAUCAUAGAAGCUACGCGGAAUUGAGGUCAGUUUGGUGGAAGUGGCAGGUGACUGAUAGCCAAGAAAGACGGUGCGUGCGUGGUACGCGGCCACCAAGGCGACAGUGGACUGGCGCUUGAGAGUGGGUCAUGGGCCCUUAUAGCUUUUCUGCGAAGCGAUUCUCUAAAAAAUCCUGCUAUGGUAAGAAUCCGCUGCCUACAGAAUCUGCUGGCAUAAGAAGCUGAGAGUUUGGCAACCUGAUUUUCUUAUAAUUGAUUAUCUGCACUGUGUGUGUAAUGACACAUAUACCUCUGACACAAACAAUACCUUAUUUGGUGGCAGAAUAAGCAUAGAAUGAAGUAAUCCAAUAAUCACACUAAUUUCUUAUAUUACAAGAGUGGCUAAAUUUGAAUCAAGACAUAAUUUAUCAUUGCUAGCCUAUUAAAACUCUUUUUUCUCUCUCCAAAACAAUAAAAGCAACUACUUGUGUAAAUUAACUACUUGUGGCAAAAUAAGUAUAGAAUGCAACAAUCCAAUAACAUAGCAUUCAUGUAAACACAGAAUUCAUGUGAAUCAUGAGAAAAUUAUGUUGGAGCAGACCGGCAGCAGAGCUCGUGGCGGAGCAAAACGGGCCGGCGGAGAUUGCGGCGGAGCAGAUCAGGCCGACAGAGAUUGGGGCGAAGCAUAUCAGGGUGCGCGACCGAGUUUCGAAGGCGGCGUGGCUGAGGUCUGGCUGUGGCGAGCCCGAGCGGCGCUGCAGGCAAGAUUAGGGCAGCGGCGCAGCCGAGAUCCGCAGCCAACGGCUCAGGCCGGCGUAGGGAGGAAGGCGGUAUGUGGGGGACAAGAUUGGCGGUGGGCGGUGGAGAGGAGGGGGGAGGGCGGUGGGCAGGGGAAAGGAGGGGGCCGAAACCGUAGACCGUCUUUAUAUUCGAUGGCAUUUUGGUUGUAAUUUUGAUGAAGUUCAGGAGUUUUUUCAUAAUGAACAUUUGAUGGCAUUUUGGAUAUAAUUUUGAUGAAGUUCAAGAGCUUUUUCAUAACAAACCCCACCGAAUCAGCGGUAUUUUACCUCAAGCGGUGGGAGGACCAAUUCCUUACGUCAGUUAUUUUCCCUUGGAGAAUCGUUUCUAGUGGAAUCGACGUAAAAUCGCAGCGUUUAGCGGGGGUUGUUGAUUAUUUUUUCCUAAGAAUCAAUCUAGAAUCGGAAACAAGCACGGCCAAGGUCCUUCAGUCCGUGGUGGCGGCGGAGGGUGUGCAGCGAGAUGGUGUUGGCAGUUGGCACCGGUGGCGGCAAGCAACGGAGGUGACUAGACUGAUCCGGCGACGUCACAUUCAGACAUUCAGAGUUGGUUGAUUUGAGGAUGCUCCUAGGACUGGUUGUUAUGGCACCACUGUUUUUUACAUCUGUCCUUUCUGAAUGAAGAAAUGGUUAGCAAGGUAAUUGUUUCUGAGAGGGAUCAAUAAACCCAUGGAAAAACAUGCGGCGUUAGAAAAAGGAACUCUGACAAAACAUGGUGGGUAGCCUACCAUGUACCAAGUACCACAGUCGAUAUAAAGGACACGGAUUAGUUGGUUUGCUCUCUUUCAUGCCACUGUGUCAGUGUCACAGACACGCAGCAGACAGAAACUACUCUGAAUCGAAGCUGAUUGAAUACGGCCUGAACUUGUAGGUAUCCUCUCAUCAGAAUUUAGAAAAGCACAUAAAUACACAAGCCGUUGAGCAUCAAGACAGACGUUUAUGAUAGUCACUCUUCUGUAACCAAAAAAAUGUACUUGUUACUUGUAUACAGAAGGAGAGGGGAGAAAGGCAAAAGAAGCACAGAGCUAGACAGCUAGUAGCAACAAAAAUAUAUGAAUCCAUGGAGGUGGCUAACGACCUUCUAACCGAAAUGAUCAGCUGACGUUUGCAACGCAGGUGGUGGAUUUGCUCUGCACGGUGGUGAAGGCCCCCACCUCCAGCGUGAUGGAGCAGUUCAUCUUGAUGUCGAGGUCCCUCUUGUAGAUGCCCAGCACGCUGACCCUCCCGGCUAUCUCCGUGUAGCUCGUGAGGUUGUAGUCCUGGCCGAAGAUGAGGUCGGUGGCGUUGACGUUGGGCGAGAUGCGGUCGGCGAGCACGUCGAGCGUGACGUUCAUGCGCACGGUGCGGCCGGCGCCGACCUCGCCCCCCGGCGCGUACGCCACGCCCACCGUCUCCCCGGCGUAGUAGAAGUCCGUCUCGCUGCGGCCGAACCGGAAGGAGGCCGCGUUGGGGUUCUCGAUGGAGACGUCGGCGCUGAGCGUGGCGUUCACGGACACCGGGUGCCCCGCCGCGGUGCCCAGGUCGCCGUCCACGCCCUCCAGCGUGACGCCGUUCAUGGUGAGGACGGGGUCCCGGACCUUGAACACGGUGAGCGCGAGCACGAGGGCGGCGAUGCCCAGGAGGACCACGGCGGCGCCGCAGCAGCCGCAGCACCAGAGCGCGCACCGGCGCUUCCGGAGGUACUGCGCCGAGCGCCAGCGCUUGGAGGAGGUCGCGACCUCCUCGUCCCCGGCGGCGCCGUCGGCCGCGGCAGGGUAGACGGUCGGGGACGCGGUGGCGAGCGGCCUCGUCGGCGGCUCCUCUUUCCCCGCCUCGGUGGCGGCGUUGUUGUACGGCCCUGCGGUGGCGGUCGCGGUCGCCAUGGGGUAGGGACUGGGAGGGGAGAGCAGAGGAGGCGCUGGCGAUCAAGCGUGCGGGACGUGAGAAAUCUUGAUGCUGGGUCGCGAAGCUCUUAUACGGUGGAUUCUCGCACGGAAGGCACAAAAGUUCUCGCUGUGGCGGGCCGCCGUGCAUCGCGUACGUGUUCUUCGCGACGGAGCCGGACAAACACGUCGGCUUGACUUCCGCCAGUUCGCCGCCGCUUGAACUAUGUGUGUGGACUGCACCACCAAUAAAUGGGCCGUGCAGGUUUCCGCUGACACAAAUUGACUCCCGGGCAUUUGCCGUUGCCACCUGCGUGUUUUUUUUCCCUCUCGAGAUAUGAUAGAACACGAGAGUCAAGUAGUCAACCUCGCUGCUUGUAAAAAAAAAAACAAAAACUCGCUGCUUGUUUGCGUUUACUUGUUUCUAGGCCUCCCAUGGAGGGGGUGUUUCCUGGGUCUUCUAAUGCCAUUUUGUUUAAAUGAUUCUCCCCUCUACAGAAGUGGCGUAUCCUGCUGAAGCCUGCUGAGCAAUCGCUACUGGAUGAGAAGACUCAGAAGCUCAAGUUCUGGCUUCAGGAGUUUGAUGGGAGGCCGAGAAAGGGUGACAACAUGGAAGACCUGCUUUAGAAAAUCAGUCUUUUUCCUUUUAUCUGUCUCUGUGUUUGUUGCGCACAGUAGUAGGGUUUUUCCCUGGUAGUUCUGUUCUGGUCGACAAUGUUUGCUGGUAACCCCAGCGUGUGUCGUGCUUGAGUCCCUUUUGGGGCUUGUAUCGAAUUAUAUGCUUUCUUAUAAGCAUGGGUAAUUCUUUUUCGAAAAAAAAGCACCAGGUAUUUUUUUUCCUCUCUCGCGAUACUGCGAUAGAAAGGGCUGCAAAUUGGCAUGCUUCAUGAAGGUAGACCGGGACGAUUUGGUCGUGGAAGGCAUGAGGCUUUCGUCAACAGAACUGCUGUCGCGAGGCCUUUAAUCAGUUUAAGUGAGCGAUCGAAUUUGACGACCUCGCGCACUUGACCUGGUAUAUCGUGAUCAGCUAAGUACAUUAUUUCGCGAAUCAUAGGCAUGUCUCCUCUCUGCAGCAGAUUUGCCAUGUGGAUGCGUGUGCAAAGAAACGGAAGGCAUGGAAUCCCACGAGUCCGAGGUCCCGGGAUGCGGCCUGCCAGAACGCAACGACUCCAUCGCAGAGAGAACAACGACCCCGUGUCAAGAACGCGAUCGAGAUCCGGAUGGAAACCGGCAGCCGCAUCGUUUUGCACCCCUGCAGUUGGGCCGCCUGAUCCCUGUGGUGGAGAUCGCCGCCUCACCGGGCUCUUCCUCCGCCGACCGAGGCUUCGCCCCGCCGUCCCCAUCAUUAAAGAUGGCAACACGUAAAAUUCACGUGGAUAUACGCUUCGUGAAAAAAAAUUUAAAUUUGCAUCCACGCCUGCUACCCGUUACAGGUAGAAAAUCAUACCCAUACCUACUAUCUGUGAGUGCCCCAUGCCCGCGGGCACGCCUGUUUACCCCGCAUGCCAGGGGCCCGGGGUGCCAGGCAGCUAGGGCGCGAGCAUGGGCACAGCGAGAUCUGGAGGGAGAGGGAGUGGACGGCUGGUGGAGGACUGUAGAGAGGCGGCGCGCAGUAGGACCGGAGGAAGGGGCCGGGCGGGAGCGGGAGCGGGAGCGGGAGCGGCGCGCGAACUACAAGGGCACCGACGUCGCCGUGGGCGCGCGCAAGGGCGAGGCCCUGAGCCCUAGGCGUGCCGACCGGUCGGUGCAUGGGGAGAAGCCGAGGAGGAGGGGCGGCGCUCAGGGAGGAGGACGGGAGCGACAAUGCAGAAGGGGCAAAAUCGGGGGAGGGAGGGGGCAGUCGGGUGGGAGGCUGGGUGGUGGCGGCUAGGAGUGGGAUUUGGGAGCUAGUUGGAGAAAUGGGAAGAAAAUACUAAAGAUUCUUUAUAUAUACGGAUGUUUGGGUGCAUAUGUCAGCAGAUUUGGCGAGUUUAGGUAUCAAUUUUAUAUACCCGCUAGUAGAUGUAUGUUAGGUUUAGUGUUAUACCCGCGUCCGUAUCCACGGGCACAAACUUAGACCCGUAUUUAUGCCUACCGAGUUUAUUAUCCAUAAGAGCGGGGGGCGGCAGGGGCCAUGGCCCCCUGGUGAUCUAGAUAAACAAGCUUAGAUUACUGAUUUAGACUAAUCAUGAAUUAUUUUGAUCUCUAUUUUAAUAAUUAGGACUUCUAAUCAUUAGAACCAAGCACUGUUAGAUUUUUAUAGAUAUAAUGUCAUGUUCUGCUAUCCUACUUACCAUAUAUUUAAUUUAUUUUUUCUAUAGAUAAGCUACACGUUAUGCUAAAAUUGUGACUGACGUAGCUUUUUACUGACCAGAUACUGUCUAUAAUAUUCAUACAUAGGUAUGCGGAUAUUUCGACAUGUUUAGCCCCCACGCCCACAUCCGCCACCGCCCGCCCCGCCUCUUUUCAAAGCAUGGUCGACGCGCUCCGGCUGUGCGAGCCAUCGCCUCGCGCGCUCCUCCGCUCGUUGAGCUCCGCACGCCCCCCGCGUACUUCUACUACAACCACCAGCGCCUUGGCUUCCUUCCUCUGCCUACCGUACCAGUGCUCCGCCCCACCCCACGAGGCGCUCCUUCACUUCCCCCGGCCUUCCGCCGAUCUCGGCGCCGGACAUGCCAUUCUCAGCGCCGGCCUUCCCCUGGCCUACCGCAUUUUACUUCCGCUAGCAUAAAUAGUUGCAACAGCCGUCAAUUUUGUUCCGCUCUAGCGAUGAUUAGCAAUGCUCAAGUGAGAUUAUGCCCGCGCAAAAAAAUCUUCCGUAAUGACUUUUUUGACUCGUGUGUGUUAUGGGUCUUCACCUGGUUGCAUAGGGCGACGCGUAGCAUCAGCCCUAUUCCCCUCGAGACACUUGGCAGCUGACAGAAUGACAGCAGCUUCAUACGUUCAGUACCGCUCUCCGAGUAUGCGCAGCAUGAGGCGAUUGUGCUUGUUUAGCCUUCUUCAAGCUAUGAUACCUGAACAUGCGUGCGUGUACGGAUCAUGGCCCAAUGGAUGGUCCUGAAGAGAUCAUUUAACGUUUAACCCCCGUGUCGGGGCUUGAUUGAUUGACCUACUGACGGUGAACAUGGCGAUGAUUUUCUUCAUUGAUUUGCCGUGCAAGACGAUGGGGGUAGGUAGGACUCGUGGUCCAAAAUGAAGCCCGUAAAGGUAUAAACGGAAGCAAAGGUCACGGCGCCGUGCAAUACAACAAGUCACAACAGCAUUCGCGCCAUCUUCUCGCUCAAGCAAACCCCCGGGCAGCAGCUCGCGGCCACCGGACAGAAAUGGCGAGCCACGGCGAGGAGGCAAAGAAGCAUGUGGUGAUCUACGCCCCGGCGUCGAUGGUCAACAACAGCCACCUGGUCUCCAUGGCGGAACUCGGCGAGCUGCUCGCGGCGCGCGGCCUCGAGGUCACCGUCGCGCUCGGCGGGCGGACCGACGACGAGGCCGCCGAUUCAUUCGCUGACGGCGCCGCCGCCGCGCACCCCGCGCUCUCCUUCCGCCGCCUCCCGCCCGUGACGCGCCCGCGCGACGUGCCCGCCCACGACCACGUGGCGCUGGCCUUCGAACUCGCCCGCGCCUCCAACCCCGACCUCCGCGAGUUCCUUCGCGCCGCCUCCCCGUCCCCGGCCGCCCUCGUCCUCGACUUCUUCUGCGGCAGUGCCGUGCACGUCGGCGCCGAGCUCGGCAUCCCGACCUACUUCUUCUUCACCUCGUCCAUCUGCAUCCUGGCGGAGUUGCUGUACCACCCCGUGAUCCAUGAGCGGACAACCGUGAGCCUCCGAGACCUCGGUGGCGAGCGUCUAAACUUUCCGGGCAGCCCCGAGAUACCCGCGGAAGACCUCCCCGCGGCAUACCUCGACCGCGACGGCCUCACCCACAGGCUCUUCCUCGCCCUGUCCGAACAGAUGUGCGAAUCCCACGGCCUUAUCGUGAACAGCUUCCGCGCGCUGGAACCGCGCGCCACCGACGCCAUCGUGAACGGCCUCUGCACGCCGCCGGGGCGUCGGACGCCACCGCUGCACUGCGUCGGCCCACUGACGAAGCUGGACAAGGCCGGCGCGAACCGGCACGAGUGCCUGGCGUGGCUCGACACCCAACCGGAAGCCAGCGUCGUGUUCCUCUGCUUCGGCACCAUGGGCCGGUUCAGCGCGGAGCAGGCGAGGCACGUGGCGCGCGGGCUGGAGACGAGCGGGCAGCGGUUCCUGUGGGUCGUGCGCCGCCCGCCCGGCGAGGACGGCGCGGGGAAGCCGGCGGAUCCCGACCUGGACGCGCUCCUCCCCGACGGCUUCCUGGCCCGCACCAAGGGCAAGGGGCUGGUGGUGCCGUCGUGGGCGCCGCAGCGGGAGGUGCUGGCCCACGCCGCGGUUGGCGGGUUCGUGACGCACUGCGGGUGGAACUCGGUGCUGGAGGCGAUCGUGGGCGGCGUGCCGAUGCUGGCGUGGCCCAUGUACGCCGAGCAGCGGAUGAUCAAGGUGUUCCUGGUCGAGGAGCUGCGCCUGGCCGUGGCUCUGGAAGGGUACGGCAAGGAGGCGGUCAGGGACGAGGAGGUGGCUGCCAAGGUGAGGUGGCUGAUGGAGUCGGACGGCGGCAGGGAGCUCCGGGAGCGGACACGGGCGGCCAUGCGGCAGGCGAAGGCGGCGCUGAGCGACGGCGGGGAGUCGAGAACAGCGCUGCUGGAGCUCGCAAGCCAGUGGAAAAGGUGAAAGUUACUACUUGCCAAAUGGGCAUGGACGGCGAGUCGAGUCAAAAUUCAGAUACAAUAAAAAACAUGAAUAAGAGCCACGGAUCUCAAAAAUCAAAAUUCAGGUGAACGGGAACUUGGACUUUGCCAUCCUUCUCCUGCUCAGCAUCCGAACGAUCUUGUGUCACGAAACAUGAAUAAGAAAGUUGCAACACUGUAUCCAGAAAAUGCACAUUCCGACUGCACGGGGGACACGAGAAAGAGAAACGCAGCGCUCGUGUCGGACUGGAACUCUGCUCCUGUGCGUGGCCUCGUCUGAUCCUUUCAAUCGUGGGCCGAAAUCUCCAGGCCGUUCAUGAAGUCAACGAGCGCCGCCGUCGACGACCCGCCGAUCUCCAGCGCGGCGGCGGCCAUAUCCUUCGCCACCGCCGUCCUCUCCCUGAGCUCCUUCCCCUGCCGGGACUCCAUGACCAGCCUGACCUUGGCCUCCACCUCCUCCGCCUUCACCACGGCCUCGUCGUAGCCCUCCAUCACCACCCCCAGCUCCAUCCCCUCCGCGACGAACACCUUGUUCAGCCGCUGCUCCGCGUACAUCGGCCAGCACACCAUCGGCACCCCCGCCGUGACCGCCUCCAGCGUCGAGUUCCACCCGCAGUGCGUCACGAACGCGCCCGUCGCGCGGUGCCGCAGCACCUCCACCUGCGGCGCCCACGCCGGCACCACCAGCCCGCGCCCGCGCGUCCUGUCCAGGAACCCCUCCGGGAGCAGCGCCUCCAGCGCCGCCUCGCCCCGGCCCUCGAACCGCUUCGUCGAGUCGGCGUCGGGCGCGACGGGCGCGCGCACGGCCCAGAGGAACGCGUGCCCGCACCUCUCGAGCCCCGCCGCGAUCUCCCUCAGCUGCUCCGCCGGCACUGAGCUCGCGCUGCCGAAGCAGAGGAAGACCACGCUCCGCGGCGGCUGCGCGUCCAGCCACGUCAGGCACUCGUGCUUCCCCUCGCCUCCCCUCUCCUCGCCGACCAACGGCCCGACGCAGAACAGCCUCGGCACGGGCUCGCCGGGGCGGGGGCUCCCCUCUUGGAUCGCCUUCACGGCGCGGGGCUCCAACCACUCGAACGUGUUCACCAGUAUCCCCUUCGCUCUGGGCAGCUGCUCAAAGAGACAAAUGGUGGCCUCGUACUGCUCGUUGCGAGGACCAAGCAGGACCUCCGGCAAGUCGGAGGCCGGGACCGGGUGGACGCCUGGGAAGUGCAGCAAGGAGCGCCCCAUGUCCCCGAACGAGACGUCGGGCCGCAUGACGGGGAUGUGCAGGUAGGCAGCGAGCGGCGAGGCGCCCGACGUGAAGAACAGGUAGGCCGGGAGUCGGAGCUCCUCAGCGGCGUCGAGCGCGCACCCGCAGAAGAAGUCGAUGACGAGCGCCUUGACGGACGGGAGGGACCGCACGAACGCGAGGAGCGCGGGGGUGGUGGCUCGGAGGUCGGCGAUGAGCGUGAUGAAGGGGUCGGCAUCGGGGUCGGCCUCGUCGCCGGAGCGGGCGGUCGCCGGCGGGAGCAGGUGGAAGGAGACGGACGGGUAGGAGGCGGAGAGGCGCUCGACGGUCUUACGGGAGUCGCCGGACGACGGGACGUCGGCUAUGGCGACGGUGACGGGGACGCCGUGGCCGGCCAAGCGGCCGGCGAGCUGAACCAUGGGGUGGAGGUGGCCCCGAACCAUCCAUGUGUACAGCACCACGGCGCUGCCCAUUUGCUGUAUGUGGCACUGAUCUAUGUGCGCUCAGAUCAAUGGGGGAGUAUAUAUGGUGGCUGAGUGGAUUGUUGCCUGAUGUUUCGUGGUGUGGUCGUUGCUCUGCUAGCAGACGUGCAGAACAGCAGCAGCCAGAAGGUGCUGCAGGGACUUACGCAACUUUGUUGACAAUAAGAGGCGGGUAAGGGCCCGUUCGUUUCCGGCCUCUAAACCCCGAAACCUCUAAACUUUAGAGGUUGGGAUCCAAACGGCCCACUAGACGCGCUCCGAUGGCCAGUUUAGAGGUGGAGAAACUUUAGAGCCCGCGAGCACUCUAACGGCCUCUAAUCCGCUCGCUGCAGCUCACCUUUCCCAGCGCUGCCCCCCACCCCCCCGCGCCGCCGCCCCCUGCUGCGCGCCGCCGCCCCUGCUCCCCCCGCGCGAAGCUACCACUAGUCCGUCCCCAACCGGAUCCCCCGAUUCCCCCCGCAACCGCGUCGGCGAUGGCAUCCACGGCGUCCACCGGCGCCGGUGCCGGCGACGGCGAGAAGCCCUACGCGCACCUCGCGAGCCCGCUCCUCGCGCUGCCGCAGCCCCCGCAGCAGCCGCCUCCGCCGGUGCUCGUCCGCCUCCGCCGCCCGCUCCCCGGUGCUCGUCCGCCUCCGCCGCCUGCGCCCGCGCCGCGGGCGGGGCCUCUGUCGCGCCUGCGCCCGAACCCUCCCGCUCCUCCUCGCCCUCGCGCUCCUAGCCGGCGCAGCCUUCCUCCUCUACCCCUCGGCCCCCGCCGCGCGUGUCGAGGGCCUCCGCGUCGACCGCUUCCGCGCCGACCCGCCCGCGCUCGACCUUGGCCUCGCGCUGCGGCUCCGCGUCCGCAACACGGGCUUCGUCCUCCCGCUCCGCUACCGCGCGAUCUCCGCCGCCGUCUCGUACCGCGGCCACCUGCUCAGGUCCGCCCAGGCGCGGCCAGGGUCCGGCGAGCUCGCGGGCAGGGGCGAGGUGUACGUGGAUGCUGAGGUGUGGGUGGAUAGGGGGUAAAACUGUAAAUUUACUCACUUUAGAGGGCUGUAACGAACGCCUCUCUAAAUACCUCUAAAAUAUUUAGACCUCUAAUUUAUAGAUCUGUAUUUUAGACCCCUCUAAUACGAAACGAACGCACCCUAAGACUGAAGAUUUGCCACCUUUAUCAGCCGAAAGGGAAAAUGGAUGGAGAGAUCAUGGACAAAUUGUAAUCGCUGCCACUGCAACAGCUCUGACGGUGGAACGACCGCCUGGGCCUCGGGGCAGGGACACGGUGACUCGAGGUGGUAUGUCUGUCCUACGUGGGAGAUAGGCUGCCUGUAGACUUUGGAGUUUGGAUGCCAGGUGUUACAUGAUACUUGAGGUAAUGAUUUUUCUGGUUUCACCUCCUCAGUUAAAGUUGGUUUAGCGUUUCCUCACAUCAUAAUUAAUUAGUCUGCAAGACAAAAGAAGGCAUUGCGAUUAGGAAAAGAUUACAUCAAUCCUUGCACUUGAUCCGUACAUCACUCUGCAUUUUGUAAUUGCCUAAAACUCAAGCAAAAAGUAAGUGGAGGGUUCAUUCGAAGAAUGGAUGCUUACCAAGCAACCGCAAGAUUGAAGGAUUGGAAGAUGAACUGAACCCAUCCAAUGCUCAAAUGUAACUGAACUGACUCCAAUGUAAUCUUGCCCCACAAAUCAAAUUAUUUCUUCUUAUGAAAAAUGUAAUUCUUCCUUGCUGUAAUUUUAUCGCUGAGUGACAUGAACAUAGUCGGAACAAAAUGAUCUUUUGACUUUUGGAACUGAAGAAGCCAUCAUCAGGAAGAUAUACUUUUGCAUCAUCUGGUCUGCUUGAGCACUCAUUGUCUGAGGAAAUUCUGCUGAACACAUCUGCACCUGAGCUCUCAAUUACUGUCCCUGCACAUGCCUGUGCUUUCUGGUACUACAUACGGAGGCUACUUGGUACACGUAACUGAAAACCAUGAUUAGCAUCUGUUUGAAGUAUUCAAGGUGAAUGCAUAAAUAACAUAAAAUUUAGCUUGCAUUCAAUUAAAUGUGUAUUUUUAAUAGUAUAUAUAAUGAGAUGCCUAUCAAGUUCGUCUGGCCUCUCGUGAUUUUUUCCUGGUUCCACCAUUGUACACUUACACAAACUCACACCUAUAAACUUAACACAUAUAUCCUUACCUUUAUAAGCACCUCCAAGAGUGGUAUGGUAGAUAUUUAAAUUGAUGAAGUAGCCACAAAUGUCUUCCGGUCAACCGACAUGUCGCCUAUAGCUGAAGAAGUGAAAAUACAAGCACACAUGCUGAGUUGGAGAGUCAAAACAAAAGAAUUCCACCACAAGGAAUCUCACAUUUGGUUCAUGGUCUUGCUUCUCCGUGCAAUGCAUAUUCUUGUGAAUCAUAAACACUUCAUGAAAUUGUUUGGCUAAUUCGGUAUAUUUUGAUUAUUGAAAGAAUGCUCGUGAGACAAGUUGAGAUAAUUGAUUCGAUAAACACGUAUUGGGUGAUUUUACUAGUAGUAGUAAGAAAAAAGAAACACUUCUCUUAGUUUCUUGAGGGGACUAGGGACUGGUUUCUUGAGGUGCCAAGCAAGGACUUAGUAAGAAAAAAGUUAGUAUUUUUGUGAAAAAAGAUAAAAGGAAAGAGCUAAACCCCCUCAACAAUGUCCUAGAUAUUAGCAUCCAUUUCAGAAGCCAUCAUCCGUUUAUCUAUUACAUUUUAGAUAAAUGAAUAGUAAAUAUUUUGACCUCUACAAGAAUACCCGGCCAUUAUUAAAAAAAGGCAGCACCCUUCAAUACAAAAACCAAACAGAUUGAAAGCAAAGCCUAACUAUCUAUUACAUAGCAUCCAUCACUUGCAUUCUUCAUUCUAUAUAUAUAUGUCGAUCUUUCAUAAACCCCACAAAAACUCGCCAAGUUCGACAUAAGACGACCCGCCUUCUUUGAUGGCAUGUGCAGCCAUUUCCUUCGCCAUGGUCGUCCUCUCCCUGAGCUUCUUCCCUUCCCCGGACUCCAUCACCAGUCGCACCUUAGCCUCCACCUCGUCUGCCGUCACCAACUCCUCGUCAUAGCCCUCCACCGCCACCCCAACCUUCAUCUCCUCCACCAUGUGCACCUUGUUCAACCUUUGCUCCGCGUAUAAUGGCCAGCAGAUCAUCGGCACACCGGACAUGAUCGCCUCCAGUGCCGAGUUCCACCCACAGUGGGUCACGAAUGCUCCCACCGCCUCGUGCCGCAGCACCUCUGUCUGCGGCGCCCAGUUUUCCAGAACCAUUCCUCUGUCUUUGGUUCUCUCCAAGAAUCCAUCCGGAAGCAACGCCUCCAGGUCAGGCUCGGGAGAGUUGCUCUGCUCGCUUCGCACGGCCCACAAGAACCUGUGCCCUGAACGCUCUAGCCCGCGCGCCGUCUCUUUCAGCUGCGCCGCCGAGAAGGUGCCCAUGCUUCCGAAGCAGAGGAACACCACGCUUCGUUUCGGCUGCUCGUCCAUCCACUCGAGACACGCGUGCCACUCGCCGUUUUUGUUGGUGUCGCCACCGUCGACCAGUGGCCCGACGCAGUAGAUUUUCGGUGUCGAGCGGCCGGGCAGGCAAUGCCCAUCACGUAGCGCUUUCAGCGCCCUCGACUCCAGCCACUCGAAGCUGUUCACCAGGAUGCCUGUCGCUUCCGGCAUCCGGGCGAUCUGCUGCAGCCGCACCCUGCCCACGUCGCUCUCCCAAUCCUGCAUGCUGUCGGGCAUGUCGAGGGCGCGGACCGGCGGCACGCCGGAGAAUCCCAGCGGCGCCUUGCCCAUGUCCUUCGGCGAGGACGGCACCGCGCGGCGAAAAUCCGGAAGCUGGAGGUAGACCGCGAGGUCGCCGGCCGCGGACGGGUAGAAGAUGUACGCGGGGAUGGCGAGCUCUGCGGCGACGUCGAGCGCGUCGGUGCAGAACAUGUCGACCACGAUGGCGUCGACGGCGGUGGCCUGCGAGCGGAGGAACUCCCGGAGCGCGGGGCUCGCGACGCGGAGCGCGUCCAGGAUGGGUAUGAUGGGGUGGGAGUACCCCUUGUUGCUGGCGCGCGACGACGGCGGGAUGGGGAGCAGGCGGACCGUGAUGGAGGGACUGGCCGCAGCCAGGCGCGCCAGCGCGGCCGCCAGCACGGCGUCCUUCUCGGGCGGGUCGACGACGGCGAUGGUGACGGCGACGCCGCCGCGGCGGAGCAGGGCCUUGGCCAGCUGCGCCAUGGGGUUCAGGUGCCCCACGCCCAAGGAGGGGUACAGCACCACCGUCUUCUCCGCCAUGGCCUUGUGUUCCUCGCCGAGCUCACAAGAGAGUCCAACAAGAUCAAGGAGGGGCACAGGCACAAAAGGAGCCGUGGUGCUAUUGAUCUCCUUCCACGGGCCAACUCCCUCGCUUUACGUCCCCCAUUUGCAGCUAAACAUGAUGUACUUGUGGUGCCUGGUCCAUUGUCCUGGUGCAUCAGACGGGCAGCCAGCACAUGCUUCGCUCCUACUAGCAGAGGAGAAAGGGAACGUGUGGUCGCCGUCCCGUCUGCGAGGAUCAUGGCAGAACUCGCGUCAGCAUAUUCAGGACCACCCCGCCACCUCGGCGUCCUGAUGAACUGGGCCGCUGGGCGCGAUCCACGACACGAUGUAACUGACGGGCUCGCCACAUCUGAAGCGUCGGGCCACCUGUUUUUGGCUAAGGCAAGAUUCACCUGCUUUUUUCAGAAAAAAACAUCUCUAGCUUGUUUUUUUAUUACAGUAUGAAUUUGUGCCAGCCCUUCAUGCUACCUAUCUCCGAUCCGGAAGAAAAAAAAAUCGUUUUUCUCAUUUAUAUGGUAGCCAUAGCACGUCAACGACAAGAUCUAUAUACAUAUACGCCAUACUGGAGGUAGUAACGUUUUGACAUCAAUGUAUUUUUUUCUUUGUUAAACAACAUACAUACACAUACACAUACAAUAUUGUAAUCAGAUUAACAUAUUACCUUCCACUGUGCAAAGGUUAAGUUCGAUUUUAUAGUCGUAUAUUUUGCAAUAUUACUCUUGUAUAUACAAACGCAUAGCUCAAUUUGUAAAUUGCCAGCUAGCAAUUUCAAGUCCAACAGCCGUCUAUGAAAAUUGUUCAAAAUCUUAUCAUCACAAUGGCAAAUCUAAGGAGGUAUGUUACACACCUAGCAGAGCUUGAAGCCAAUAGACACACGGUGAAAAUAGUUUCUGUGAGGUACCGGAUUUUCGAAAGAGAAUCCGACUCUGUGUAUCGUCGUGACUCUCUGUAUCGUUGUGAUAGUCCCUGAUCAGUAGCUAUCACAUGCAGAACUCAUCUCAGACGGAUAUCUUAAUCAUACAUUGCAUAGAUUUAGAUAUGGAUUUAAUUUAUUACACAAUCUGAAGUAUUGUAUCACGAGUUUUACAAUACAAGCUUCUUGGGCUAAGGUGAAACGAACAGAAAACGGAAGCGGUAGCUAAGCUUCUGGGCCAUCCUUUGUCUUGGGGAACACCCCUCCACAGGCAACUUUGAGUGAAGUACGGGCCAUCCUUUAGUCAUCCUUCUUAGUCGGGGUUACGAUUCGGAUCAAAUCCUGCAUCUACCAACUAUCUCCAAGGAGUGGGAUAGGUUCACGUCACCAUCCGCAUGCAAGGUUUAAGUGGUCAGGUAUAGCAAAAUCAAGGAGGAAAGAUGGGGUUUCCUAUGCAUAAGCAGCACCAUAAGUUAUAUCAUCAUCCAAACUCCGAACUCGGGCCAUUACAGCAUUCCAGACUCCCGGUUCACACACACCUUCGAAAUACCACCGAAUCGGUGCGAGAACUCCCACUCCUCGCACCUCAGCUGCCCCAGGCAAAAGUCAAACACUAGAGGGAGGUAGAAAACAUGUGUAACACUAAUUAAUAAGAGUAACAGAAGAGUAGGAUUGUACAUGACCGAGUACACGUAUAGUUUUCACCCUACAGGGGUUGUACACCUAGACUCACUCGAAUCUAAGCUAGCUAGGAGCGACCCAACUGAACGAUGAGACACCGGUCUACUGAAACAGGAUUAGGAGCCACGGCACCAUCCGGCUUUCCCGGAUCUUGGGCGCAUCCUCCCGCAAGAGGUCGCUUCGGGAUUGUGAAGCCUCCCUUGCGUUUCGAGGAACAUGAGGUCAGCACCUCCUUCCCCUGCACUGAUACUCGAUCCUUCUACCGGCUUGGUACCGCACUCGCUAGCCCCGGACCGGGUCUACCCUCAUAAUGGGUAAGUGGUGUGCACGCUUAACAUAGUCCCACUAAUUAUAGUUACCCUCAACCGGUUCUCAAUUGCCGAAGCAAGCAUCUUCAUCACAUGCGUCUCCACCGUAAUGGUCCGCAGCUGCACCCAUUACGGGUGCCACCAACUCCUCAACCAAGUAACCACUAGAGACGUACCUGCCAUAGGCACACCAUAGAGUGUGCCAAGAUACACACUCCAAACCCUCGAUCCAAAGAUCAAGUUAAGGUGGCUUGCUCCCUACUAAAAGGCCUAUUCACCAACUCUGAAAAGUGUAUCUCCACUCACACUAAGACUAUCCAUGCAUCCCACACAUACACAUAUAAGGCAUAGCAAGGCAUCUCAUAUAAUUAUCAUGUAUAUAGUAUUACAAGAAGUUCAUGUAAUUAAAAUAGGCUAUGCAGGUUUAUCUCAUCAUAACAUAAGAUAAAGCACAACAUAUCUAGCGAGUAAUGCCUAAUAGGUAUUCAAAUUCGUAGAUGGGCGUGAACCUAGUGGUUCUUUGUAGUCUUCCGGUGUCUUCUGGUCAUCUGGGAAGUCCUCCUAGAUCUUCCGGUUGUCCGGGACGUCGGUCAAUUCCUUCUUGCGGGGACCUAAUCAUAAAUACAUAUAAAUAUAGGGACCAAAAUUCAAAAACACAUAAAAGUACUCAAAUAAGAUCCAAAUCACAACAAAACCUAAUCUAAUGGGUAGAUCAUGAUUUUAGAAGAAUUAUGAAACUGGUUUCAUAAUUUUUGCAGGUCCGGUUAAUUAAUUAUGAAUAUUCUAAGAUUAAUUUAUUUUUUGAAAUUAAUAAAAGAUUUUGGAAAAAGAACACACGGUCACCUCCACGUGUCAGUACCAGGGUGCGCUACGUGGCAUGCUGACGUCAUCAUGAGGUCAGCAGGUGGGUUGGAUCCGCUGACGUUAGCAGUGGGUCGUGUUGACGUCAGGGUUGACUGGUCAACGCUGACUAGUCAACGGUCAAUGGGGUCAGGUGGUCAGUGGGUCCUGCUGGUUAGUCACACCAUGUCACUGACAGAUGGGACCCACGUGUCAGGUCGAUGAAAGGAAAAAGAAAAAGAUUAGACGGCUCGGGCUCACUGGGCUGAAAGAUACUGGGCUGGCUCGGUCCAGCCCAUCAGGCUCGGCUUGGCUAAAUAGGCCGGCAUGCCGAGUUGGGUUGGUCUCGGCCCAAUGCGCCCGUCUCCUCCCCUUAUUCUCUUACAACUCGGCCCCGCAGGUCAGUUUCUCCCUCUCCCUACUCACACACGUUGACAGGCAUGGCCCACCGGUCAGUGGCUCGCCAGACCUGGUGUGGCAGCGCCCAGAUCCGGUGCGGUGGCUACGCGUGUGUGAGUCAAGUGUCAGUGGAGGUGGGUGUACCUGUGUGUGCCCCAAGGGCGUUCGACGAAAGGCCGCACUGGCCUGGCCGUGACACGAACGCGAUGUCGUGGUCGUGCUGGGGUGGUGACCGCACACCGUGAGUCCGUGAUGAGGCAGGCAUGACUGGAAUUGGCAGGUGUGUGCGCCGGUGCGCGGCCUCCUGGUGCUCCAGAGCCACAGCGCAGGGGCAGGACGGCGGCACAGUGUGGUAGGGUAAGGCGAGAUCACGAUGGCGGGGCUCGGGAAAGGGCAAAGGCACAGCCUUUUGCCGUUGGCUGGGGACGAGCUCACGCUCGGGAGCACAUGGCAGUCCAGGGCCGCGACGCGACGGUGCGGCGUGGCAAGGUGGGAGGAUGACCGGCGAUCAAGGGCCGUGAGGCAAGGACAAGGCUCGGCCUUGUGGCCGACGGCUUGGUGCGCAUGCACGCGCGCGGGUCUUGGUACCCCAGGACCGCGGCGUGGCUGUGCCGUGCGCGGGGCACCGGUGUUCCGAGCCCGCGACACGGUUACAGCGGCGAGAGGGCGACGGCGGCUGCAGGAAACAUGGCGGCACUUCAGGCUCCUGCACGAGAAGGGGUAGGAUUGGGGAUUAUAGGGACCCCUGUUGGAAGGUUCAUCGAUGUCGGGGAGCUCGUCGGCAGUAGGAGGGAGAACGGGAAGGGGCGGCGGCACCUACCAGCGUGGUUGACAAAGGCGGGGACGGCACUGUUACGGGGGUGCGGACGUGACAAGGUGAGGCUGUGCGGGUAGCGCAAGGACGUCGGUGUCGUCGAGUGGGGCGCUGGCGUGGCGGCGAACUCCAACGGCGGCGGCGUGAGGCAAUUCCGGCGGUGGCUUCUUCAGCUGGGACAGCUCCCCCUUGGCUUGCGCGUCUUCGAUCGGUGGUGGCGUCGGGCUCACGGCGGCGCUCGUAGGCUCUUGAGCGGGUGGCUCCUCCUCCUUGGGCCCACCUCCUUCUCCUCCUCUUCCUCUUCUCCCCCUCAGGUAACGGCGGCGGACAAGGGGGAAAACCCCAAAGACAGCUAGGGUUUCGGAUCCGGUGGCUGGGGCUUUUGUAGGCGGCUAGCUAGGGUUUGGCUCGGUCGGUUGCGCGAGGACGACGGGGAUCCUCGGCGUCCAGGCCGUGGACGCGUGGCGCGGAUCCGAGGGGGUCCCGGGCUAGGGUUCGGGAUGCAGCUCGAGGCUUGGUGACCGAUAGGGGAGGUGCGGCGGCAGGCGUGACGCAAGCGAGGCAGCACGGCCGUUGCACUGCUUUGGCGCAAAGCGAGGGAGGCGAGGCGCUGGGGGGAGUGCACGCGCGGGCGGAGACGGUGAGGGAGCGGGGUGAGGCGCGGUUGGAGGUGGGAGAAGGGAAAGCUGACGAGUGGAUCCCACUCAUCAGUAGCUCGAGCGGUGGAGAAGGGGUAAGCCCGACGAGGUCGCGGGCUGGGCCAGUUAACGGGCCAUGUGAGGGUGUGCUGGCAGGCCGGCUUAGCCAGCUGGGCUGGAUUAUGGCUGGUUUUUAGGUAGAGUAGGUUAGUGGGUCAGGCCGGGUUAGGGCUGGAUUGGGGUUAGAGUCAGCGGAUCAGGUUAGGGCUAGGGCCAAGCGUUUUAGAGACUUAGGUGGGUCCACGCAGGGUAAGUUAGCUUUUGAAUUUAAAUUUAAAGGGCACACUUCAAAUUUAAAUUUCACAUAAUUUCAAACCAAGAAAAUAAAUCCCAGAGCGAUUUCAAAUAAACAAGAUAGCUUCGAUUAAAUCCUAACAACUCCAAUUAAAUUCAUACUAACAAGAAUAUCCUUAAUCCAAACCAAACCAACAAAUUCAAACAAGCCAAUUCGGAAGAACUCGAAUAACUCCAAAUUAAAUCACAUUAAUAGAUUAGUUUAACACUUAUAUAUUAGGUUUUAUUUUGCUAGGAAUUUCGGAUACAAGAGAGAUAUCCUUAUAUUAUUCCCAGAUUCUAACACUUACAUAAGAAGUUUUUAAAAUUCACGAUUUUUGCAUCUUAGAACAUUCCGGAAAAAAUUCGGGAUGUUACAGUUUCAUUUUAUGGCUUCUGAUUUUUUUUUGAGACAAUAUGGGGAGAAGGGCUAGUCAAAGUUCCAUUAAAAACAAAGAACAAUUGUGGGUCCAUCACAAUUCGCUUUCUUUCGUACAAAUCCUGUUCUUUUGCAAGUCUGUCAGGAACUCGUCAAAUACCACGUCAGAUGACCCGCCUUUCUUGAUAGCAUCUAUAGCCAUCUCCCUAGCCGUCGUGAUCCUUUGCCUAAGCUCCUUCCCGUUAUCAGGCGCCAUCACCAAUCUCACCUUUGUUUCCAACUCCUCUGCUUUCACUAGCUCCUCCUCGUACCCCUCCACCACCACGCCCACUUUCAUCUCCUCCACCAUAUGCGUCUUGUUCAUUCUUUGCUCCGCAUACAAUGGCCAGCAGAUCAUCGGCACUCCUGACACGAUGCCCUCUAACACCGAGUUCCACCCACAAUGCGUCACGAAUGCUCCGACGGAUUGGUGCCGCAGCGCCUCGCUCUGCGGCACCCAAUUCUUCACCACAGACCUCCUCUCCCUAGUCCGGUCCAAGAAACCCUCCGGAAGCAACGAUUCCAAGUCUGGCUCGACGGAGUUGCUCUGGUGCUCAGGUGGGUUCCGCACCACCCACAGGAACCUCUUCCCGGAGUUCUCCAGCCCACGCGCCAUCUCUCUCAACUGCGGGGUGGAGAACCUGCCCAAGCUGCCGAAGCUGAGGAAAACAACGCUCCGGUCCGGUUGGGAGUCCAGCCAUUCGAGGCACGCGUGCCUCUCGCUGAUCCCUUCCGCGUUUCCAGGGAGGACCAACGGCCCGAUGCAGUGGACUGGCGGAGUCGAACGCCCGGGCGUGCAGAGGCCACACCUGAGCGCUUUCAGGGCCCGCGACUCCAACCAGUCGAAGCUGUUCACGAGAAUGCCUCUCGCGUCGAGCAUGCGCGCGUACUGGGCAAGCCGCGCCUUGGAGACGUCGCUGUCCCGGUCCUGCACCGUGGUCGGCAUGUCGAGAGCGCGGAUCGGCGGCACGCCGGGGAAGUGGAGGACGGCCUCGGGCAUAUCCUUGAACGAGGACGGGGCGGCGGGGUAGUAGUCCGGCAGGUGGAGCAUGACGGCGAGGUCGCCGAGCGCGGAGGGGAAGAAGAGGUAUGCGGGAACGCCGAGCUCGGCGGCGACGUCGAGCGCGUCCGUGCAGAACAUGUCGAGCACGACGGCGUCCACGGCGGGGACCUGCGCGCGGAGGAACUCCCGGAGCGCCGGGUUGGCGGCGCGCAUCACGUCGAUGAUGCGCAUGACGAGGUGGGGAUGGUCCUCCCUGCCGCAGGGCGGGAUGGGGAGGAGGCGGAACGCGACGUUCGGGUUCGCGGCGGCGAGGCGCGCCAACGCGUCGGCGGACACGGAGUCCUUGUCGGGCGAGUCGACGACGGCGAUGGCGACGGCCAGGCCGCGGCGGAGGAAGAUCUUGGCCAGCUCCACCAUGGGGUUCAGGUGGCCGACGCCCAGCGAGGGGUACAGGACCACCGUCUUCGGCGCCGCGACGGCCAUGGGUCACAGUUCUCGUUCUUGACGAGGGAACGGAACGCGACAUUGAAAUACGGGGCCACCUGUUUAUUCUAUAUAUAACGUGAAGCGGCAGGGCCUUUGGCCUGUCCAGUUGUUUGUCUUUGAAUGGCUGCCGUUGUUUCCAUGUGUUCACUUCCAAUUCAAGUCUCACGUUGAGCUGGAGAGAGCCAAAUCGGCAACGUGUUAAGGCUGCCCGGCUGCGUGCCCGGGAUCAAUGGGCGGCGCCGGCGCUCCUCUUGUUUGAAGUAACCGCUUCGAAAUGUGCGCAGACAAACGGCGAGCUCUUUAAUCAUCUUGGCCUUGGCAACGCAUCACGGGUUCACCUUUUGCUUCUAACAUUUAAAAUGAAAACAUUUCUAGUCAAGAACGCAUCUAAAAAUCCUCAACAUCUAAAGAUUUCCGAUCAACCAAGAUUGGAGUUGUUGCGACUAUUUAUGUUUGUGGCGACUAUCUGACCGAAAAAGAAGCGCCGGUAGUCAGAUCUAGCCCAUAGAGCGAGUUGGGCCACAGCUAGCUAGGUCCAUUUCUGGAUUGAGGCGUGCGGUGGACUUAGUGUAAAUAUCACACUUUUGCUUACUUAGAUUGCUCUCUCACGUUGUAAAUUAUAGAUUUAUCUAAUCUACUAGCUAAUUGGUAGGUAACUAAUUUUAGCUAAGGUGAAUCCGAAUAGGACAAACUAAUUGUCAGGUAAAGUCCUUCUAUAUACCUAAAUAUUAGCUAUCUAAUUAGCCGAUCCAACCUAAAUAAUUUAUAGCCUCUAAUGGAUUAGCUGGGUGGAUCCAAACAGGCUUUAUGAAUAAAAAUUUGCGAUCCUCACUUUUCAGAAAAGAAAAAAAAAUGGCGAUCUUCAAACUAAGUAGGAUUGAGCACAUCCGAUUUUUGGACAAUUGUUUCCAGGAUGACAAACUUCUAGCCUUCUACGGUUCCCAACCAAGCAAUAAGCAAAAUCUUCUUUACCCACUUUUUUUUUAUUAUAGCUGAUAUUCUAUUUGUAGAAGGUACAAAAUAUGGUUGGUCAAACAAUGAAAGGAUAGCAUAGAAUGAUAGAAUAUUAUAAGAUAAAAGGUAACACAAGCUACAAAUCCAUUAGUGGGCGAGCUCCUCUCCAAGGUUCUCCACGUCCAACAAGAACUGAACAAACGCUGCGUGUGACGAGCCUCCUACCUCUAAUGCCGCCUCUGCUUCUUUCCUUCGUGCCACCACUCGUGCCUGGAGCUCCCUCCCCUCCUCAGACUCCAUCACCAGUCUUACUUUUGCCUCCACCUCCUCGGCCUUGAUAAAACCUGUCCUAUACCCCUCUAUCUCUACUCCAACACCCAUAUCCUCAGUCAUGAAUAUCUUGUUCAUCUUCUGCUCCGCAUACAAGGGCCAGCACAACAUCGUGACCCCCGCCAUGAUGCCCUCCAUCGUCGAGUUCCAUCCGCAGUGGGUCACGAAUGCGCCUGUAGCUGGGUGGUUCAGUACAUCCACCUGCGGUGCCCAUGACUUGAUAACAAGGCCUCGAUCCUUGGUUCGCUCCAAGAAACCCUCCGGUAGGAGGGCAUCGAGGUCCGGCUCACAUGGUUUGUCCAAUAACCUCUUCGGAUCAUUGAUGUUGGCCGGAACGCGCACGACCCAUAGGAACCGUUGCCCGGACUUCUCCAGGCCAACGGCGAUCUCCUUGAGCUGCUCGACGGAGAAUGUGCCCAUGCUCCCGAAGCAGAGGAACACGACGCUGCGCUCCGGCUGAGCAUCGAGCCACGCGAGGCACUCGUGCCUCUCUGUUUUCUCGCCAUUCCGUCCGCCGCCGCUGACCAACGGCCCGACGCAGUAUACUGGAGGCAGCACCUUGCCAGGGAAGCACAGGGGAUCCCUGAGUGCCCGCACCGCUCGACUCUCGAACGACUCGAACGUGUUCACCAGAACCCCCCUGCUGUUCAUGCCGCGCUCAAAGAUGCUCACCAUGGUCUUGCACUGCUCUUCCUCGGGGUGCGCGAGCAGUUCCGCGAUCAGGUGGGACGCCGGCACGGGCGGAACGCCAAGGAACUCGAGGGGCGUGUCCCCCAGCUCCUCCAGACCCGUCUGCCUGCCGGCCAACAGCGUCGGGAGCUGGGUCACCACGGCCAGCGAUGACGCGCCCGAGGGGACGAACGUGUAAGCCGGGACGCCCAGCUUCGCGGCGACGUCGAUGGCGUCGACGCAGAACAUGUCGAUGACGAGCGAGUGCAAGCGCUGCCGCGGGAUGGAGCGGAGGAAGCCCUCGAGCUUGUCGUUGUACUGGCGCAGCAUCUGCAGCAUGAGGAGGAACGGGUGCUUGGGGGAGCCGGCGAAGUCGGGGGCCGGGAUCGGCGGGAGGACAUGGAAGGAGAUGGACGGAUUGGCCGCGGCGAUCUGCUCGAUUUGGCUGGCGCCCAGUGCGGACGACUUGAAGGGCGGUGGGACGAUCACCAUGGUGACGUCGUAGCCGUGGCUGAGGAAGACCCUGGCGAGCUCCGCCAUGGGCACGACGUGGCCAACGCCGGCGGCGGGGUACAGGAUGACGGUCUGCUUCAUUUGCUUAAGCGGUGGUUCGCCUUCGCCAACUAGAAACUAGGAACAAAUAUUUCGGAACAAAUAAGGAUGCUUUCGCUCGAGUUAUCCUGGGAGAUGCUUGGCUAGCUGCGUAGUUAGGCAGGCAACAUUUUAUAGCUGCGUACUGCCUUGCCGGAGAAGCAGCCUGAUGAAUCGUUUGGUCAGAGGAGAGAUGCCUUCUAACUACUGCUGUAUAGAUAGCCAUGUUUGGCAGCAUGUCAGGAGAUGGAUAUGGGAGGAUGCUUCCUGGCAAUCUGUAUUUUCUAGUUUCUAGAAGAAGCAAGACUUGAUCACCUUAUUUAUGUAUGAUUGUGCUUGCGGUACAAGCUGUAACUAGGACUUUUACGUUUUAAUAACCAAAAACUGUUCUAAAGAAAAUUAAAAAGUUAAUAGUACCUUACAAGUUGCAGAUCAAGGCAAAGGUGGAGCUUGAAGGAGUCAACAGAGGGCCAGACUGAGACAGCCUGUGGUUCAAAUUCCCGGUAAGAAAUGGUUUUAUCUUACCAUUUUAUUACCACACAAGUAGCAGUAGCAAUGGACCGGAGGGAAAACAAAUAUAUGUCAUAGUCGGUUCACCUCACAUCAGUCAUCUCACAACUCUACUUGUUCCAAGUCUUCCAUGUACCCUGCUGUACACGUUAUCACCGUGACCUUUGAAUGUGUGGAACCGUUUCAUCGAGGCACGCAUGAACUCCGCUUUAGUCCACUCAGCCAUCUCUCCCCGUUCCAAAUCAAAAGGUUUUCGUGAUAUGAGAGAGGCAAGAAAUAACGAUUGCAAAAAAUCCUUCCUUUUUUCUUUCAUUUCAAAAGUGCAUAAAAAUUAUAUUGCCAAUUCCAUUUUAAUUACAUUCUUUUUUCUUAAUGUUAAUAAAAAAGAAGAAAAUUCUUGUUUUUUCUUUCCUAAAUUCGAUAUAGGCUGGGUUGAGAUGAGAGACAAUCAGAUAAAUUUUCUCUUCAGCGGGCAGUUCCAUAUAGGAUUUGUUAGAAUAAAAACAAGUAGGUUAUAAAAAAAACUCUUUUUUCCGAUUAUUUAUCCACAAAGCAAAAAAAGGUUCUUAUCAGACCCACAAUAAAAUUAGAAAGAAAGAUAAAGUAAGUAGACCUGACCCCUUGAAUAAUGCCUCU
This 79846-nucleotide long non-coding RNA is filed under the name Panicum hallii. RNAcentral's name for it is "long non-coding RNA (PHAL_LNC000499)". The stretch from base 47793 to 47864 matches the Rfam family "tRNA". Lineage: Eukaryota; Viridiplantae; Streptophyta; Magnoliopsida; Poales; Poaceae. The record is from RNAcentral.